GGGUGUUAUCUAUGAUAGGAAUCACUUGAUGGGCAAAGAAGUCGUAGGCAUCAUUCAUGGCUUUCAAUUACACUAAAGUUUCAAUUAAUUUAGACCCCAAUUGGAUUGGAUCUCCAUAAUUGAAAUCAUGUCCUUUGGGCUCUUGUUGCCAUUGACUCCUCCUUAUUUCGAUGCUCUUUACGCAUUUUAUUUCUGAAUAAACUAGUGAUUUCGUGUUCAAAUUCUCAUGAUAUAUUGAUAGUGUGCGUGAUAAUAUAACUCGUGAGAUGAUCGUAUAAGAAAACAAUACCUUAAAAUAUAAAUAAAUAAAUAAAUAAACAAUGACUAAUGUAUAACUUUAUGUGCCAGCAUGCAUUUAGCUGAGCUGUCACAACUUCGAUUUGCCCAUAUCAUAGUACUAUUUUUGUAUUAAAUGUUUUCUCUAAUCAUCGACAUUGAAGGUGGUGAAGAAUAUGAUAUAUUUUUUUUUUUUUUUGCACAAUUUAUAACUCCUCCUAGAAUUCGUAGAGAAAACAUUUUGAAAUGAAUAGGUGGGCGGUCUUCCUGCAAAAAUUAUACACACACAGAGCAAGUCCAAGCCAUUCCACUCGAGAAGAAGAGAGAUUCCCGGAGAACCAUGCGUGGGGUUAAUAAUUAAAUCCUCUCAUUUUUAAUUAAUCAAUUAUUUUUUAUAUCUUAAUCACGAUUUUUCACCAAUAAACAAUCAACUUUACGUGCAGGCCAACUCAGCUCACCAUUUAAUUAUUCCAUUAAAAAAAAUUAAUUAACUGAUUAAGACUUAAGUUUCUGAGCGAUAUUUCAAUUUAAAUUUUUUUUCCAAAACGCUUUUUGCUGUUUUUAUUAUAUAAUAUCGAAAUCGAGUAGAGACAAGCUUUAACCAACGGUUGAGAUAUUCGCUUCUCAAGCACUAAAUCUGGGCCGUUGAUUUUAAAUCAACAUAAAAAGGGACAGGUCUAUCGAGUCCAUGCUGAGGCAGUGGAUCCCAAUAAUACCAUGUCCUUUUCAAACUGGCAAUAGUACCCCUCAUUUGUGUGGAACGAAGGUAGCUGGGUUGGGUGUGAUCUAAAGAGGGCAAGUUCGUACUCUCAAUUUUAUAAAUUUUUGUGAUGGCCCCAUGUAAAAAUGUACGUACCCGGCCCUCGGUGAAACUGUGCUUUUUUACCGUUUAUGGUCCCAAAAUUUAAUUACCUGCAUGAGCUUUCAUGGGUCCAUGUGUAAAUUACCAUCUCACCGUACACUGUAAAAAAGCCACAUCGUAAUCGUAUGGUCUGAUUAAGAUGCAACGUGCAGUUGUUUUUAGUACAUUUGAACUAUUUCUCUGCCCAUCAUGACCUUUCAAUUGGAUAAUAAGUGAGGCUAUAAUUACCAAUAUUAUUAUAUCAUUCUUCAAUUUCACUUUUGUAGCAGUUUAUCCAAUUUUUACUUUUGCUCUUUUUGCAUUUCAUUUUGACGAUUUUGCAAUCUGAGGAUGCAUUUAUUUUCGAUCAAAUUGUUUGGUUACCAUAUCGCUAGUAAAAUAAGAAACAAGUCCACCACAUAAAUAAUAUUUACGUGUAAGAUAAAUUAUGUAAAUAAUAUGUGUAUUAUUCGUGAAAAAAAUACAUAUGUAUAUAUAUAUAUGCAGUGACGAAGCUAAAUUUUUUCAAAUGUUGUCAAUUAUUUCAUAAUAGACGUUAAAUCAUGAGGAACUAUAUGGAAGGGUAAGGGUCAUAACAACUUCAUGUCUACGUACAUUAAUAUAUUUGGGAUAAAAACGCUUAAUUUAUGUAUAUAUAUAUAUAUGUGAAAUUAUUAAUUAUGCUAGUUACUAACCGUCUAUUAUUAUUAUUCAGCUAAAAAAGACAGGUUUGUUUGAAAGUGAUUAUGAAUAACCUAAUAAUCAUUUAUAUAGAAAAUCAUUAAGCGAUUUUAAGUAAUUUUAUAAAAAAUCUCUUAUAAUUAUUUAAAAUAAUUAUAUAGAGAAACACGUGAAAAUACUUCUCUGCAUGAAUGAUUUUGGACCUCACAUAAGCACUUUCAAACUAUCCAGUGUACUUAUCCUCACAAUUUUGGAAUCUAGAUUCAAAUUUCUGCCUACCCUAUGUGAUCUUUCUUAUUGAUAGGCGAACAUUACCGCACUGGAUCAUUGUAAAUUGGUAACUCUAGCUUUCUUCUUGUCAAAAAACAAAAUAUACACUGAUACGUGGUGUUGUUAGAAUUAAACAGUCACACAUGAUUGGACGGCCAUGAUGUCAUGAUAACCAGGGGACUUCACAUCAAAUCAUUCCUUAUUAUUUUAACCUUUUAUUAACUCCGCUACCCCAUUAAACGUGGUCCCCACAAUAUUACUCUCCCACAGAUCCAGCCGUGCAAUGCGAAUCAUGAGAUUCCCCUUACACUACCCAUUCCGGUACACAUGACAACACUUUACCUCAACCCAUUCCUUCUCGUCCUCCUCAAUUUCUCCCGAUAAUACCGCGACACAACGAGAUGCUCCAAACUCUCGUCGUUUUGAUAUACACCCGGCUCCACCCCCUUACGUACACCCGUUUUCUGCGGCUGCCCUUGGUCGCCCAGCGGAUAAGACCACCCCACUGCCACCGCGCAAUCCAACGGCUCUCACCUUCCACUUGACACGUGUCGCCAUCGUAGGGUGAAUCAGCAUCAGUCGCACAGAAGCCCACCAUGCGAUUUAACCCUGGUUAAACUCUAACCUCACCCAGCGCAACAUAAAAACCUUAUCCUCUUUCUCUUUCUCUUUCUCACUUCUCUCUCUCUAUCUCUUCUGCAAGUCUGCAACGAAUAAGCUCGUUAAUGGAGUCUCAGAUCUAAUCUAAACGACACACAAACUCAGUAUAUCUAUCUAUUUCGUCUCUCUUUAUCUCUUUCGCUAUUUUUAUAGCUGCUUCAAAUCCGAAGCACUCCCAGAACGACGUCAUUUUAGUAAUUUUCCAGUUUGAGCUGUGGGAAUGCUGAAAAUGGCGAACUCGUUCCCAGAGGAGGUGCUAGAACACGUGUUCUCGUUCAUACAGUCGGACUCGGACCGGAACUCGAUCUCGAUGGUGUGCAAGUCGUGGUACGAGAUCGAGCGAUGGUGCAGGAGGAGAAUAUUCAUCGGGAACUGCUACGCCGUGAGCCCUAGGAUGAUGAUCAGACGGUUCCCAGACAUUAGAUCCAUCGAGCUUAAAGGGAAGCCUCACUUCGCCGACUUUAAUCUGGUCCCUGAAGGCUGGGGUGGCUAUGUCCACCCCUGGAUCGCCGCCAUGGCUGAUGCCUACCCUUGGCUUGAGGAGAUCAAGCUCAAGAGGAUGGUUGUCACCGACGAGACCCUGGAGCUGAUUGCCAAGUCUUUCAAGAAUUUCAAGCUCCUUGUGCUUUCGUCUUGCGAGGGGUUCAGUACUGAUGGCCUUGCCGCCAUUGCUGCCAAUUGCAGGUUUCUCUCUCUCUUUCUGUGCAUUUGCUUUGCACUGUGUUUGGUUUGGUUUGGUUGUGAUAUGGGUGCUUCAGCUUUGCUUGUUCUGUUUUACUCUAGCAGUCAAUUUUGGGUUCGAUUUGUAUGUUUGUUUUGUUUUUGAACUCUUUUGGGGUUCUUUUAGGCUGCUAGGAAGAAGUAAGAGAAAGAAAAGCAUUAAAGUUUGGAUCUUUCGGUUUGUUAGGGAAAUUAGUGAACUUUCUUCACCCGGAUUUUACUGCUUGAGCACUUAAGCUGGGGUUGCUUGAGUUUAAGUUUCCAUUUUUGGCCAGGCCUCAAAUAGUAAAAUACCCACGAUUUAAAAAUCUUACAAUUUCUUGGCUUUUUCCUACAUUUCAACCAAGACUUUGUAUUUAAGAUAUUUGCUCUGCGUUCUACUUGUUGGUUGUUGUGGUGUUAAGUGGUUAAUAUGAGUGAAGGUGUAAAGACAUCUGAUUUGGUUUGUUUUCUGCUGCACAUUGUUGCCUUUGAUGGCAGCGUGCAGUAGUUACCGUACAUUUUUGUUUGUCUCGCAUAGAUAUUUUCCCAUUUUUGGGUUAUCCCAGUUCAUUACCAUACUUAGUUCUGUAUAUAUAUAUAUAUAUAUAUAUAUUAAAAUUAUUAGUGAUUGGAAACGAAUGGAUCUCCUGCUACUUGUUCUGGCUUCCUUAUUUUCUGCUUUUAUUUCUUAUAGAUCUGACUGGGACAUCUUGUUGUGUGAACGGUUAAUGUUCAAAUUGUUGUUAAGAGCACUUGGGUUUCUCUUUUUUUUAGGCUACUUUGCUUGUUAUGGACUGUUGUAAUGUGAGGUUCUUUUCAAAUUUUGUAUUCUAACUCUUUGGACGGUGCGGAUGUGUUUUGGUUCUUUCCACUAGUUUCUCUUCUUCUUUGCUACUCAAAGAAUCUUUUGAUCUGAUUUCUUGUUUUUUAGCUUUUGCUUUUGGGAGAUAUGUUGUUUUCACUUGAGAAUGCUGGAAUUGGAAGGAAAUGUGAACUUUUGUGCGAUGAUGGUUCAGUGGGAACAUCAAACUAGUGAAAAAUACAUGACUUACUUUUCUUGUGAACUUAGGUUUGUAGAAAAGUUAAACCAAUAUAAUAGUCUAGUCACUGUCGGUUACUGAUGGUGAUGAGCUGGUAAUUUUAAUCAGGAAUCUAGUUUUCAUGGUUUUGUUUUGUUUUAUCCUAUUGCUUUAUUUAGUGAAACUCUUCUUUUUUUGCUCAGAUUGUGAAAUGUCUAUACGUUGUCUUUAUCAGUGCACCCUUUCACCUUGUUGAUGCAGGAAUCUGCGGGAGCUGGACUUGCAUGAGAGCGAUGUGGAGGACCUGAGUGGGCAUUGGCUCAGCCAUUUCCCUGAUACGUACACAUCACUUGUUUCCCUUAACAUUGCCUGCUUAGGGUCUGAGUUUAGUUUCUCUUCUCUGGAGCGCCUGGUGGGUAGGUGUCCCAAUCUGAAGAGUCUCCGGCUCAAUCGCGCUGUGCCUCUUGACAGGCUAGCCAAUCUACUUCACCGGGCACCUCAGCUGGUUGAGUUAGGCACAGGGGCCUACUCAGCUGAGUUGCGGCCUGAUCUCUUCUCAAACCUAGCAGGUUCGCUCUCGGGAUGCAAGGAACUCGAGAGCCUAUCUGGGUUUUGGGAUGUGGUCCCAGCAUAUCUUCCAGCUAUUUAUUCUAUCUGCCCCGGGCUGACAUCACUAAAUUUGAGUUAUGCCACUAUUCCAAGUCCCGAUCUUAUAAAGCUUGUUAGCCAAUGUCCAAAUCUGCAGCGCCUUUGGGUAUGUCCCAUCUUAUUUGAUGUUUUCAACCUCAUAUGCCUUUAAUUCAAUUUUAAUCCUCCUUAGGUCCAAGGGUCAGAUGCUUACAGAUGCAAAUAAGUUCCAAUUGGUAAUUCCAUUUUGUAGCUAAUUAAGGAUAUGACUGCAGGUAUUGGAUUACAUUGAAGAUGUUGGCCUUGAUGCCCUGGCAGUAUCUUGCAAAGAUCUACGAGAAUUAAGGGUGUUUCCAUCAGAUCCGUUUGUAGUGGAACCAAAUGUGUUGUUGACAGAGCAGGGCCUCAUAUCUGUUUCUGAGGGCUGUCCAAAGCUCCAGUCAGUUCUGUACUUCUGCCGGCAAAUGUCUAAUGAUGCACUAAUCACCAUUGCAAGGAAUCAACCUAACUUUACAUGUUUUCGUCUUUGUAUAAUUGAGCCCCGAACUCCAGACUACCUUACCCUUGAGCCACUUGAUGUGGGUUUUGGGGCCAUUGUUGAGCACUGCAAGGAUCUCCGGCGGUUGUCUGUCUCCGGUCUACUAACUGAUCGUGCGUUUGAGUAUAUUGGAACACAUGGAAAAAAGUUGGAGAUGCUUUCUCUGGCCUUUGCUGGAGAUAGUGACUUGGGGCUUCAUCAUGUAUUGUCUGGGUGUGAGAAUCUACGGAAACUGGAGAUUAGGGACUGUCCUUUCGGUGAUAAGGCUCUUUUGGCCAAUGCUGCAAAGCUGGAGACAAUGCGAUCCCUUUGGAUGUCUUCUUGCUCAGUGAGUUAUGGAGCAUGUAAGCUGCUAGGUCAGAAGUUGCCGAGGCUUAAUGUUGAAGUUAUAGAUGAGAGGGGGCACCCGGAGUCCAGGCCGGAGAGCUGUCCUGUUGAGAAGCUCUACAUUUAUAGGUCCGUCGCUGGUCCAAGGUUUGACAUGCCUGGCUUUGUUUGGACCAUGGAUGAAGAUUCUGCAGUGAGGGUUACUUGACACUUGCGUUGAGACACCCACGGAUUCAAACCCUUGAUAUGUCUUGCAUGGGGGGCAUAGCAGGUACAUGCUUAAUAUAUGGUACUCAAUUGUUUCGCAUUUAAAUUCAUCAGUAGCUUAAUAUAGAUGCAGCUCUGAUUGGAGUGGAAGCGGGGUAGAGGGAGGUAUACAGAGGCUCAAGAGCUCGAUUGCCAUUCAUUUUACCAUUGGCUGAGCUAUGGGAUACCAGUUAGACUAAUAAAGAGAUUUAAGCUCCUGUUGUUGUUGUUGUUGUUAUAUGUAUUGAACAGAGUUGUUAAUUUUAUUCGGCAUAGCCACCACCAUGUAUACCAGCUGCAGACUUUUGCAUGUUUAUGCAUUUAUGUGGCCCUCUUUUUUCAACAGGAAGUAAUUGCCAUGUGGACCCAUUUGUAUCAUUGUUAACCUUCGAUCUCAGCAAAUAAAGCUUCAAAUUUUAAUAUUUAUCAUGUAGAUUUAGUUGGUUUUGUGAAAGAUGGAUUAGAUUGUGGUUGGAUUGGAUUGGGUCGCUGCUGAAAUGUAUGAAGGAAAUGUUGUUGAAAGCUCUCUGAGUUUGAGGACCUCUUCAUGCGUUCUUCUUGCAGUUGCACGAAAGGGCCGAUUGUUCUGCCAACAAUUUUCUUACAUUACAUAUUACACUACACUAAGAUAAUUAUUGACAUUUUGAGUAAUCAUUGUUGUGAGAUUUCCAAACAACCAUACCAUAGGGUGGUUGGGUAAAUAAUAUGAAAGAGAAAUGACAUUUCACUCAUAGGUUUUUAUAUCUUUACAUCUCAGCAAACCCAAAAGAGAGAGAAUAAUUGAAGGGUAGAAAAAAGAAAGGUAAAAAAGGCAGUUGGGUAGAAAAAGCAAGCUCCUUUGGUAAAAUGUAUGUAUGCUGAGUUGGCAAGCUUUUAAUGUUAUUGCGUAGAGAGAGAGAGAGAGAGAGAGAGAGAGAGAGAGACCUCGACUUUUGAGCCACGUGAUAGAUUCGGUGACAUUGGAGGGUAUCCACAACUUUUUGCUUCAUUCACGCUCUCUUUUCUAGCCCACACCACCACCUGAUGACCCCGCAAGAGCAAGCAACCCAAGAACACUCCUUAUUUAAGCCCUUUGAAUAUCAGAUAGAUUUCCACAGUAAUUAAUUAAAUUAAAAGAAAAUAUGAGAUAAUAUAAUAAGACAACCCCAACACACAGAGACAGAGAGAGAGAGAGCGCAAAAAAAGAUAACAUGGACAGAGAGAUUGAAAACAACUUAACAGACCACCCCCCCCGCCCCACCACGUACUGAAAAACUGACUCCAAAAAGAAAAGGAAAGAAAAAAAAAAAGAAAAAGAGUUGGUGAAUGACUGAGCAGAGCUGAGAUGAGAUGAGAAUUGAGUGUGGUGUGGAAUGUGGGGCAAUCAAAUUUGCAGACACUUUAUUGGUUGAUGAUGGCCACACGUUUGAGGGUAUUGAUGAUCAUCAUCAUUUUUAUUCUCUCCUCCUCCUCCUCCUCCUUCCUUACCAUAGUUCUUUUGCUGAUUUCGUCACUCACUCACUCUGAUUUUACUGUUUCACCCCCCAACCUCACCUAUAUCAUCAUGAUAUAUCAAAGUAAACUCACUCACUGACUCGUACUGUAUGUAUCAUUAUAAAGAGAGUUAAAGUUGUGCAAUCCUUCAGUGUGUCCUGCCUUGGCCCCAGCUCUCUCUCUCUCUCUCUCUCUCUCUCUCUCUCUCUCUCUCAGUUAAAGUUUGUACCAAAUAAGUGAACCUGCAUUGUACAAUUCAGAUCCUUAUUGCCCAACAACAAAAAUGAGGAUGAAACUUAAUUAUCAGUUCCCCAACAACCCCCCAAAACUAAACAAAAAUGAAAACAUAAUCAAGGAUUAAGAUCUUAGUUUCAAAUAUCAUAUUCUGCUAAUCCAACUUCAUCAUAUCAUAUCAUCGACUAUUAAGAAAAAGAAAAAGAAAACCUUUUUAGCAGAUUUCUGUGGGGGCAGAAUAUGGGUUCCCGACAAUGCCAAGGCCAGUAAAGAAAUGGGCUAGACUUAGUUUGGGAAAUCGGCAUGGAUAUGGAACCAAACUUGGACUUUUAAGUACAAGUAGACCCCAAAAUACUUGGACUCCGAAGAAGAUCCGGGAGCAAGCCUUAUAGUGUUGGAUGCUAAAUUCUUGGUUUCUAAGACAUACUAGAACUUUCCCAGAAGAUGUCAUUCUUUCCUUCACCCUUUUGGCUGAUAAAUAAUUGUUGCCGAGGAGGCUCAAGCUUUGAAGUUAGGUCAUGGGCAAGUUGGUUUGCUCAGAACAACAUGAAGGCAGUUUGCAUCUUAUGGGACUUCUAAUGCCACUUGAUAUAGCUCUCGUACUCUCAUGUUCAUCAUUAAACCACGUCCGAAGUACUCUGUAAUUGCUGUGCAUCGCAUCCGCUGACAAUUUUUCUUGAUUAAACAUUUCGGCACUGGUUCGUGUGCUUGUGUGUGUGAUUAUAUGCCUGAGGCUGGUUCGAUCAAAUUGUAUCAGCUAGAUGAGUGUUUAUAAGCGUUUUUGUUUAGAACCAUGGUGUUAACUGAUAAAAUGUAGCCUAUGUUUGUCCUUCAGUAAUAAACAAGGGUUUUUUCAUUUCAACUUUUGAGGCAUUAGUUUUCGAAACUUUUAAUCCUCUCCCAAAAGAGAGUUAUGCUUGGCAAAAUAAUUGAAAUCAAUAAGCAUUUAAAUGGUCAUAGCCAAUGCUGAAAAGAACUACCAGAACAAUAAUCUGUAGAUAGAACAUAUUUGGCACCUUAACCAUAUCAAAAUGGUUUUACAUUUGCUUGAGGAACUGGAAUUGCCCUUAUCAAGGUUAGUUGAGAAGUAAUUCAAUGAGCAACAUUACAAUUAUCCAAAAAUCAAACAUUUCGAAAAUUUCACAAACUAUGUUUGCUUUGCAGAACCUUGAAGAGUCUCCAAAAGAUGUUCAAUUCUGUACUUCAUAACAGGCUGACCUUUAUGCGUUUUCUUAAGCAUCUUCCCCCUCACAGACUUCCUCCGAGCUUCGGCCUUCUCUCGUUCUUCCUUCUUUGCCUGAAUAAUCGCAUCCCUCUCCCUUCUUGCUUUCUCUUCCUCUUCAUGCUUCUUCUCAUACACUUCUAUUAAAUUACGAGCACCAUACCUCUUUUUCUUGUUGUUAUUCUUACUCCUCUUACCACCAUCUUCGGUUUCGUUCUCCUUCUUACUACCAUCUUCAGUUUCAUUGUGCUUCUUACCACCAUUUUCAGUUUCACUCUCCUUAUCACCGUGUUCAAAUUCAUUCUCUUCCUGUACCAGCCACCAAAAAGAUAAAUGAAAUAAAAUUUCAAGCUGCAAAUUGUGUUUCACAAAAAGGAUUUCAAUUGGUUUAUUAUAUUAUUUACAAUGCUAAUCUUGUCUCAAUCUGUUUCUGAAGAAGAGGCAAUGAAACAUUGCUAAAAAUCAAACCUCAAGGGGUCUUAUAGCCAAUGGAAGAUUGCUCUGCUGUUGCUUCAGUGACUUCUUAUACUUGUUCACAUACUUGGAAUUCUUGUAAAACUCCUUUUGCUUCUCUGACAGAAAACACAACCAAACCUGUUUGUUAGAAUCAUUAUAAAUAUGGCAAAAUACAAGGGAGUGGUCAUAAGUUUCAUGUAUAUAGAUCCUUCCCAGCAAGAAAAAAGUAAAAGAGGAUCAUAUAAACAGGAAAACAUUGAAACAGAAACAGAGAAAAACUAAAACCCGAGUAAAGAGCAAAUAUUUAACAAAGUAGAAUGAAAAUGCAAUUAAAGGAGAGGGCUUUAUACUUAUCAAAGCAGGAUUGAAGUAGCUGCUGCUAUUUGAUUUGGCAUUAGCGAAGGCCUCGAGUGAAAGGCCUUGCCCACCCAUUCUCCUCAUGUUCUUCUUCUUCUUCUUCAUGCUAUCCUUCUUUUUGUUGAUCGAUGUCGAGCCGUUGAAUUUCUCCCUGUUUCCUUCGUCUUUUGGGUAUCGGUUCUUCAUGACGGAAAGGAAUUGGGAAAAUAUUGAGAAACUGAUGCAGAAAUACGGCAAAUUCGGCCAAAACGGUGAGGAAGAUUAAUGACUAAAGCGGAGGAAUUGGAAACCCUAAUUUGCAGGAUUGGCAAAAGUGCUUUAGUGCAACUGUGCAAGGCGGGACUCGUAGAUAUUUUUUUUCUUUCAGGGACUCGUAGAUAUUAUUCUUAUUUAAUUAAUAAUUUUAAUUUUUAAUGUUUGUAUUAAUUAAUGAUAUUUUUUGGUAUUUUGAAUGUUUUACCCUUCUUUACCUUUUGCUUUAUAUAUAUAGAUAAAAUAAGUAGAAAGCGAAGUAUAGUAAAAAGAAAAACAUCUAUUGGUAUUUUGCUUUCUAACAGUUGAAAAAGAUACAAUCUUCGAAAUCCUCCAUACUCUUCAUUGAUAAAAUAAGUUAAUUAGUCAUAAAAGAAAAGGACUUCAUUUGAGUGGUUAAACUCAUAAAAUUAGCAUGAUGAAGCGAUAUGAUAGUUGGACUUGGAGUUAAGUUUUUCUCUUUAUAAACGAAUGCAUGAUCUCUCAUUGGGGAACUUCCAAAUUUGAAGAAUGUAAUUGUCGCAAGUGAUUGAAUUCAUGUAGUAGGAAGAUAGAUAGAUAAAUUCUCAAGCAUCCAUUGGAUUAGAUUGUCAUUUUUGUUUCGCUACAAUUGUGAUUAGACUAUAUUUUCUCGCUUCUAUUUCUAGUAUUCAUUCAUUCUGGUAGGAAAGCCCACAUGUAAGAUUAAACCAAAUAAGGUAUGAGCAAGGGAAAAAGACAAUCAUGGAGAAAUAGAAUGUCAAUAUGAUGUCUACCGUUCGAUUCCCUCCAAUAUCUGUUAUAGAAAAUAAAAAUAUAUUUAAAAAAAACCCUAUGCUAAUUGGCAAUAUCUCCAUAGUGCCCCUUUGCCAACCCUAGGCAAUCACGUAAUUGAUUCACUUGGCUCAUUUGGUCUAGUCUAGGUGAUCACACAAUUGAUUCAUUUGGCUCAGCAGCAGCUGCAUCUCCAGCCCUUCUAUCAUUUGUCAUGCUCUCUGUUGACUGAUUCUCCUCAGCUUCAGAACUCUUCUUUGUGUCCUCUGUUUUCAAUUGACUGUCACUUGCUACAAUGUCAUUUACUGCAACCACAUUUGGUAUCUGAUUGAGGCUAAAUUCUGGUAACAUAGAUUUCUUUGAGUUCUUGAACAUCAGAUACAUAAUCAUCUGCGCUAACCCGAAUGCGAAACCGAGGAUGUUUGGUGCCUAAACAUGAAAGAAAACAAGGCAGAUAGAUUUAAAACUUGGGCAAAUUAUAUUGCAUUAUAUAUUGUGUUUCUGCAUGUAUAUAUAAUGACAAGUUUUACCGCUAUGAACAAAUCCCUCACUAGAAGGCCAUAGAAGAACCACAUUACAGCACAGAGAGUUAAGCAGAAUGACAAAGGGAAGGACAUGAACUCCACACUCCUCGUUCUAAUAACUAGCCUCUGAAAAGUAUAGCAGGAGAUAAUCAAUUGUGUGUUUAGAUCUGUCAAGAAUAUAGUGUUUGAUUUGGCAUGAAAUAAAUAAGCAAUAUUGUUACCAUUAUACUCAGAGGAGCAGCAAACACACAGACAGAGAACACAACACUAAUCCACCCAACAACUUUAAUCCGCAGAAAAUGAUUUGGAAUUAGGUAGGUGCUCAAUACGAUCACACCAUAAACCCCCACAUUAAAAAGGACAAGAAGCUUUGCUGUGUAAAUCUGCAAAACCAUAAAAAAUUAAAGAUGAACAAGAAAUGAAUAUCUUAUAGGUAGAAAGAAGAGAGAGCAUUAUAAAUUUAGAAAGUAUGUACCCUGGUUUUUGCUGGUGCAUAAAUCAUGUACAUUACAAGGUAACUGGUUUCUAUGAUGCAACCAACGGAGUUGAUGGUGAUGAGCAUAAAAGCAUUGGUCUUGAGGAAGGCAUAGUAGAGCAUAAGCAUGGCGCUAAACAGAGCCACCGAAUAAGGUAUGGACUGGAACCCUUCUGUUGAUUUUUUCUUGAAAAUUCUAUAAAAUGUUGGCCUAUAAAAUAAAAUAAAAGGCAGUGCAAAAAGUUAGAUAACAAUUACAUAUGAUACAUGAACUCCCAUAUGUGCAUGAAGGAGACAGAGAGAGAGAGAGAGAGAGAGAUUACAGUGGCGCUAGGUACACCAUGAAGGCCACGAUGUUACCUGUCAAAAUGAAAAACAGAGGAAGAGAGAGAGAGAGAGAGAGAGAGAGAGAGAAUUUAGAAUUGAAAACCAAGUGAAAAUUGAAAAGAAAAAAGAACCCAAUUAUUAAUACCAAAAGGGGGAGGGGUGGUGGGUGGUGUGUAUGGUGGGCGCCGGGGUUGAGAGGAGGUAGAGCUGUGUAGCUAUGGUACCUACCUAGAAUACCAAAAACAGAGGCCAAGAGGAAAGCAUCAGGGGCUGCCAUUCUCAGGGUGAAGCUCUUUUAACUCCUAAGGAGUAUGUGAGGAUUUGAGGGGCACUCCAAAGACUCAAAGAGGUUGCUCUAAUUGUUGCAUUGUGUGCCUUUAUAUAGGAGAGCAGAAGUGGAAAGAAGACCCAAGAAAAAAGAAACAGAGUUGAGCUUAGUGUUGGAAACUGAGAGUUGGAGCUAGCUAUGAACAAACUGUAUAUUUGAUGUGUUGUGGGCAAAGAGUUAAUGAGGUUCCUCCUCGAACCCUUCAAGCUUAUAUUACUAGUUUUGAUGUUGAAUUGGGAAAAAUGAGCAGCUAGCCUAGCCUAGCCUAGCCUAGCUAAUAGCUUGAGCCAUUAGGUUACGUGAAGCAAAGGUCGACCAAAAUGGAUAUCUGAUAGGCCACACCACAAAGCAGCCGUUACGUUUAAAGGGCUUUAUGCAAAUGUAUUUUCAUGUAUUGUACGCAGAAUAUGCAGUGUGUGUGUGUUUAUAAAGCUUUUGGUUGCCUGCCAAUUGGCAAUUGGCAAUUGGACUGUCUGUCUUUAGCUUACUCUACUGUGUCUUGUUCUUUUUACACAUGUUUUUCUUUCCCUAGGUAAUCAUAAUCAAUGAGGACAACUACAAGCAAUUAGCCACAAGAUUAAGACACUCUUAGCUUAGUACUAAAGGAUAACCAUAAUUAGGUGUGAACAAAUUGCCAGCCACAUUUAGAAUUGUAGCAUCAAGGGCUAGCUAUAAAUAAACUCUUCUUAGUCAUCCUCUGUUUCAUAAUAGAUAUUUUUUUGGGGACGAAAGCGUAAUAGAUGUUGAAAAAGCCAGCGAGCACCAUUUCUUGAAAUGCUACUUGCUCACUUGGUGCUUGCCAGACAACGAUGCUACUUAAAUGGAAAAUGCAGAAAUGUGAAGCAGUUAUUUUCUAUGCCCUGGCAAGUUUUGUACCAAUUUAUUUCCUUUUUCCGAUUUAUUUUCGCAUAAACUUUUGUGAGCGGCCAUGCAUGCUAUGCUUGUACAACUUUUGUGUUCAGUUAUGGGCAUUGGGCUUACCAUAUAUGAUAUCUCGUUCAUUCCUCUUCUGUGGUGAAGUUAAUUUUCAAAUAUGGAUGUAUGUGUAUAAAUAUAGUUUUCUUACGCUUUCCGCUUAUGGGUUGGUCUUUCUUGAUUUGCUUUGUAAUCUAGUGCAUAUGCAGUGGCCCUGGAACAAACUGAAAUUGCAACAGAAGGGGCGGCCUAUUGCAUAGGAAGUGUAUAUCUUUCUGUUUCUCAUCUUUUUAGUUUGUUAUGAAAUGCAAAUUUUUUAUUAUUAUUUAUUUUGCGAAGGAAAUACUCCAAUUAGGUAACUAGAACUAUACUUGUUGGUUUUAGCAAGCAAGUUUGAGUUGACAUUUGUAACCACUUAUUAUAGUCUUUAUAAGUCUCGGCGGUUUUACUAGAUUGGUUUGGAUUGAGCACAUGGUGGUCCACGUAAGCUUGACCUUUUGUUAACUUGGGCUCUAAUUUAAAUUAGUUUUUGCCCAAAACAAAACCUAGCGAACACAAGGAACAACUUUAAAUAUGUUUAGGUUUAGGUUAAAAGACAAGCACGGUAACAACCACAAGCGCAUUGUGUGUCACAGCACAUUAAUUCCAGACCAUGUUUCACUUCUCCAUCAAAUCCUCUUUUCUGCAACCGCUAUUUAUUUAUAUAUUUAACAAACGAAACACAACAAUUAGUUAGUUGGAUUGUUAUUAGUCUGUUUCAAUUGACUUUUAAUUAAAUAGCAGUUCUAUACGAGCCCUUAAUGCAAAUUAUGGCAAAAGAAACAGAAAAACUCAUAAACAAGUACUUACACGAAUUCACAAGAAGUAGGAUACAGAGAAAUAAAAUGGUGAAACAAGCUUAGAAAUCCUAUGCAUACUUUUUUCUUCGUAAACUCCAUUUGAUCUCAAAAACAUCAAGCAAUAUUUCAACAUUAAGCAAUGCUCUGUGAAAGUUGUCAAGACGUGUCAUAAAUAGGGUUAAAGGGAAAUUUGAUUAUUUAAAAUGGUCAAGAGGCUCUCAAUCAAGGUUUGGAUUGAGCCAUAAGCAUAAGCAUAAGUCUCAGUCAUUUUACUAGUUUGGUUUGGAUUGAGCCACAUGGUGGAGCACGUGAGCUCGACCUUCUGUUAAGUUGGGCUCUGAUUUAAAUUAGUUUUUGCCCAAACAAAACCUAACGAUCUGAUAAUAUAUUAUCAAUCAAAAUAUCUUCUAAGCAUUGCUAGUUUGGUUUGUUUAAGAGAAAGAGAAGAGUCUGACCGAAAAAAAAGAAAAAGAAAAAAAGAAAGAGAAGAGGUAAAUUAAUGUAGGUAACUUCCAUAAGUUGGUGGGUCUACACUACACAUAGCAAACCAACUUCGUUUGAGCAGGAAUAUGAAUAUUACUUGCAAGUUGGCCGGGGAAAGACAAGUAUUUCCCUAACUAGCAUAUGAAAUAUAAAGGCGAUUGUGGACCUAGUAAUAACUAAGGUCUAAAAUAUUGAUGGUUUUGGAAAUAUUAGUAGUCUAAAAAUACAGAAAUUUUAAUGGAAACAUCGGGAUAUUAUCAAUAUUGAUAAAAAUUGAAUAAAAACUACUGAAAUUAUAAGAAAAACUUGGAAAUUUUUCUUGAAAUUUUGGAGGUGUUUAUUUAGUCAAUUAUCUAUUAAUUUAUCACAAAAAAUUGGAAGAAAAUGCAUUGCAUGAUGGGUUUAACUGAUUUAAAUUAAUUAUAUAGCGAGCUGAUAAAUACUACGAGUGUAGAAAAUAUGUAGUAAUUAAUGAAAGAACAUUAAACACACCACAAUCAUUUAUUUAUAAUGAUUUACUACAGUAUUUUACACAUUUAUACAUUGCAUGGUAAGAUACAUGAGUGACUUAGUACACAUAGAGUUCCUAUAAGAUUCAAAUUUUAGUUAUUUACACUACACCUCCUGAGGUUUUCAGUUUUUUCACAAAUCUUCUUGACGUUUUAGAAAUUACAAGAACACCCCCGAAGUUUUAAAUUAUUUUCACAAAACUCCUUUUCAUUUAUUUUUCAUCCAAAGAUUGAUGAUUUUAUACGAAAAAAUUCUCCAAAUAACAAAGUUGGCCUUUGAGAUUUGAUUGCAUAUACUAAUUUUGUCAUUUGCAUAAGUUUUUUUUUUCAAUAAAAUCAUCGAUUUUUGAACAAUCAAUCAACGAAAAGGGGUUUUGUGAAAACAAACUGAAAUCUCAAGGGGUGUUCGUGUAAUUUUUGAGACAUGAGAGGAUUUUAUGAAACCACAAGAAACCUUAGGGGGUGUUAGUGUAAAUGUUGGGAGCAAAUAAUUCGGCUUCCAAUCAUGAGACGCCAUAUGGACAAGAAGAAUAUCUCCUAGGUCAAUCAAUUGAGCCCAUUUAUUUGGCAAAUUAAUUGAUACUAAAAAUAUGGAUAUUAUAUUUAUUUUAAAGAGAUAAUAUGACCAAUUAAGAUAUUAUCCUUAUUUGGAGAUAUCAUCAUCAAAUUACGAGAUUUGAUUGGGAUCAAAUCCCAAAUGGACUCAAUCUCUACAAUUUGGGGAAAGAAUAAAUUCUUUCCCAAUAUGAGUUUAUUCUUUAGGGUUUAGAUUCUUUGAAAAAUCCUAGAUGCCUAGAGCCCUAUAAAUACAUGGCUUCAUUCAACACUCAAGGUAAUAUGAAUUCUAAACAUAGUCCUCAAACCCUACAAAAAUACUCAAAGUUCUCCACUCUUUCUCUCCCAUAGCCGAUGUGUUGAAGAAUAUAAGUUCCACAUCGGAAACUUGACUAAAUAAAAUAAAAUAUAUAAUGAAUGGUUCCACUACUAAUAUUACCGAGACCUUUUGUAAUAAAACCCCACACCUACUGGGCUUUGUAGGUGGUUAAGUUGGGGACAAUAUAUGUGUUGUUAGUAGUGGGCCGCUGGCCCGUCUAUCUGAAAUUUAACAUGGUAUCAGAGCGGGUUGAUUGACUGUGCCUGAAUUAGGCCUUUACCUUUACCCAAUAUGUGGUGUUCACAGGUUGAGCUUGAAUGUUUACCCCUACCCUUUACCCAAUACGUGGUGUUCACGUGUUGGGAUUGAAUGAUUGACUCCGAUGUGGACUUGGCUCCACGUGUGGCUCACUAUGUAGUGGUCCCACGUGAGGGGGCUUGUUGAAGAAUAUAAGUCUCACAUCGGAAACUUGACUAAAUAAAAUACAAUAUAUAAUGAAUGGUUCCACUAUUAAUAUUACCGAGGCCUUUUGUGAUAAAAUCCCACACCUACUGGACUUUGUAGGUGGUUAAGUUGGAGACAAUAUCGGUGUUGUUAGUAUUGGGCUACUGGCCCGUCUCUUUAAAUUUAACACGAUGGCACCGUCAGUGCUGCCGGCAAUAUCUUUCUCAUCUCUCCAUAUUUUCAUACACAGCCCUGCCCACCACAUAAGGCUCCGGUCACCCGGUUCUCCCCGUAGAGAAAACACCGAACCCCUUUUUAGCUAUUGUUUCUCCUAGAUACAACACCCCCCGAGUGUGGUCUAUUUACUUCGGUCUUUUUUACAGGAACCGAGGAAGAGAGAAGGAAGAUUAAAGGUUGAAGAAUCCACAAGAGAAUAUUCUCCCGUAAGAAUAUUUGCACAGACAGUAAAUAACUCUUCAAAAUUUUCAUUGUCUUCAUCAUCUCCAUAUUAUCGAUAUUAUAACGAUAUUAUAGCAAUAUUUUGGCCAAAUAUUAUUGAAGUGUGAGAGAAACUAUCGACGUUGAUAUUAUCGAUAUUUAUACGAUAUGUGUAUGGAUACGUUCCAAAAUAUUAUUGACCAGAAAAAAUGAUAAUAUUCUCAAUAUUGCAUAGAUAUUAUUGAUAUUUUAGGCUAUAGUCACAAUGCACAACAAAACAAAGUAAACAGAGAUAAAAUAGCAAUGAUAAGCUAUUAGCAAUUUGGCAUCGGUUAAGAUUUGGAUUUAAUUAGCUGAACCUGAUUAUGAUAGAACUUGAAAUUUAAAUGCUGUUAAUUAGUGUAGAGGACAAAAACAAAUUGCAUUUGUCAUUUAAAAAAAAAAAAAUCCAUUGAACAUAUAUAAGGAAAGAGUUGACAGAACGGUUGGUACUUUCCCUCAUAAUAUUGCACACAGUGGCGGAGCCACUUAUAAGCCUGGAGUAGUCCUAUCCCAACCCCCACAAUAUAUAUAUAUAUAUAUAUAUAUAUAUAUUAUCUCUCUACUAUUAUAUUAUAUAUACAAGAUAGAAUUAGUACUAAACAACUUAUAAUUGAAGUUAAAAUUUCUCUAAAAUAAAUUAGACAUGAAUAAAUUAGAAAUAUUUAACUCUAGACAUGUAACUAUUGAAUACUUCAAUAUUUUAUAUAUUUGUAUUUUCUAUUCCAAGCCCCCUAACUUUACAAUUCUAACUCCGCCCUUGAUUGCACAUACAUGCAUUUUCCAAAGACAUUUAAUUAUUUAUAUGCAUCAAUUUAGUAUAGAAAAGAAAGGACGAACUUUUUUAGUAAAUUUGCUCAUGUGGUAACGGCUCAUUGGGAAAUUUUUUUAAUUUUAUAUUUUAUAUUUGAUAGGCAAAUUUAAGGUAAAUAAGCUGCUCAUACAGAAAUGCAGGCUACAAUUACCAUACUGGACUAAAUUUAAUUCCCCAGCUAAGGCCAUAUAUAUCAUGUACGUACUAUAAAAAGCAGCAAGCACUAUGAGGAAUUACAACAACUAGCUAUGAGGCAGAUAAUGGCAGCUGCAAUAAUAUUGCAAUGCAUCCUAUCACUUGGCUUCUUCCUUGCUUGCGUUUGCGUUAAUGCCGCAGGGAAACCAAAUGGCUUGACCAUGGAACUCAUCCAUGUGGACUCGCCGGCAUCACCUCUCUAUCCGGGAAAUAUUUCUUAUGAAGAAGAAAUCCAAAGACUCACAGACCGAUCCAUUGCCCGAGCUCAACACCUUCAUUACACCUUGGCAUCCCUCGGUAACAAUAAUGUGUCACAAACUAUAAUCAACCCUCUUGACAUUCGUCCAAGACUCGAAUUUCACCCUUACGGCUCUUACCUUGUACAAGUUGGGAUUGGGACUUUUGAUGCAACUUUCCCGGCAAGGUCAUUCAAUACAUACUACUUGUACACUGACACUGGAAGCAUCCUCACAUGGGCGCUGUGCGAGGAUUGUCUCAAGCCUGGAAACCAAUGCUUUCAAACCAAAGAACCCCCUUUCCCUAACAGCAAGUCCAAAUCUUAUGUUGCUCUCUGUUGCAAUCAAAACCCGUUUUGCAAGACAGGCCAAUGCACCGGUCCUUACUGCUCCCAGCACGAUGUGUACAUGGGCGGCACCGUUGUCAAUUCUAUUCUUUCAGGCAUGAAUAUUUUAAUCUUUUUAGUAUUAAUUCUCGAAAAAUAUCGCAACUAACUAAUAAAUGACAACUGGUUGCUUUGCAUGCGCAGCUGAAAAUUUCAACUUUUUGUCAAUUAGUGGGCAGCCACUGAUGCUUCCAGGCGUAGUGUUUGGUUGUGCUUAUGACACCAGGAAAAUCGGUUUUGGAAGGCUGGAAGAGUUCAAGAUUGCAGGAAUAUUGGGUUUGGGAUAUGCUCCGAUUUCCUUUCCACUGCAACAAUCCUAUCAAACUGGUAAAGUAUUCUCAAUGUGCCUAACACGCCAAAGAGAGAUCCAAACAUAUCUCAGAUUUGGUAAGGACGUCCCCACACCACCAGGUGGUCUGCGUGUCACCAAAUUAGUGUUCUUCAAAGACAUACCAUAUUACUACGUCAAUCUGUUGGACAUAAGUGUGCAUGGACAAAAGCUUCUCAUAGACCCAAAUGUGUUUGCUGUACGAAAUCAGGGCACAAGUGGCGGCUGCAUCAUGGACAAUGGUAGCUCAUUUACUUUUCUCAUCAGGCCUGCUUUUAAUGCUGUGGUUCAGUUUCUGGAGAUGUAUUUCAUGCGCUUUCCUCGCCUUUUUAAGGGUGGUAGGCCUCUUGGGCCCCCUUUUGAACUUUGCUACAAAUGGAUGACGCCGUUGCCACCUCUACCUACUUUGACAUUUCACUUUGAAAAUGCUGACCUUGUGAUCAACCCAGAGGACUUAUUCAUAAAGGUGAAUGCUGAGCAGCAGGGGAACUAUCUCUUAUGUUUGGCCUUCAUCGCCGACGAUGCUCGUACUAUUCUUGGAUCAGUGCACCAAUCCAAUUACUUAUUCAUAUAUGAUCUUAACCAGAAGCUGUUGAAGUUUGCUCCUGAGGAUUGUUCUAAGAAUUCUUGAUCACCUCAAGCUUGAUAUAUCAUGUAAUCUCUCUUUCAUUUUCAUUCCAUCCAUGUGCUCUUUUUUUGUUCAAAAUAAUUAGUUCUUUUGCAACCUUGUAGAUUUUUUAAAAUGUUUUAAUCACCUCAAGCUUGAUAUGAUUCACUACCACCACCAUGUCUCCACCACCACAACUAACUUGUCACGGCCAAUUACUCCCACCGCCAUUGUCGCCACAAACAAUCAACCUCACUCUAAUGUAUUGAUAGGCACAGUAAAAAUUGUGCGAGAAAUGAAUCACACAACACCAUAACACAAUAUUGAUAGGCACAAUAAAGACUAAUAUACCUACUACUAAAAUUAUUUACCUAUAGUUUCAAGUAUGGACAUUGACAUUAAGUAUCACAAAAAAUGAUAGGUAAAUUAUUAUCCAUAAAAAGAGAUAAGUUAUUAUUCAUAAAAGAUAAUAGGUAUAUUAUUAUCCAUAAAAUAAUAGGUACAGUAGAAAAUUAAUAGGUAUAUUAUCAUUCAUGAAAAAGAAACAAAUAUAUAUGUUGAUUUAGAAAAGAAACAAAAAUAAUCAUGAAAUAGGUAAAUUAUUAUUCAAAAAAUUUAAAAAUCAAGUAACCAAUAAAUCAAACGUUAAAAUAAAGAUUAGUUGUGUUAAAAUAUUAGGAGAUAACACAUAACAAGCAUAGGUAAAAACAUGAAUUUUUUCUAUUUUAAUGCCAAAAAAAGAAGAUAAAAACUUACUAACAAAUCAACUUUAUGCUAAUCACCAUUUGAAAUUUAAAAAUUUAAUGAAAUGGAUAGACACGUAUGGCAAUUGAACAUGUAUAUAUAAACAAAAUAUGCUGAAAAUAAACUCAACACAAUAAAUGGAGACAACUCUUCUUAAAUAUCACAUGAACGGUUUGAUUAUUGUGUCUUGCGUCACAUUUAUAGAGAAACGAAUGGAGUGGCCAACUGUCUCGCCAAAUGGAGUUCCAACAUAACUUGGGUCUAUAUACUUUUGAUCAUGUGCCUACUUGGGUGUGAUCCUUUCUAAUGGAUGAUUUGUUUAAGGGUGCCCAGGACCUGUGCGGUUUGUCCUAAUUCUGUUUGGUUUUUCUUUUUGGGGCUCGGCGCCCCCAUUUUACCCAAAAAAAAAAAAAAAAAAUCACAUGAACAGUAAGUAGGGGUAAUUUAGGUAUCUGAAAAAUAUUAAAACCUUGAUUAGGUAAGUAGCUUAGUUGGAUCCUAGUCACUGAACUUUAGCCAAAGAAACAUAUUUUGAUGGGUUGCGGACUAGGAAAAAUGAAUUUGAGUGAAACCCCAAAUUUUCUAUUUUACUUUUCCAAACUAGGGUUAGAAGUUCCAUUAUCUCUGUCCUGUGUCCUCCCUCUCCUACAAACUAGGGUUAGAAGUUCCAUUACCUGAAUGUGACGUCGUUCUUCCACCAUCCCAAUCCAAAGCUCCCGUUCUCCAAUUCAAUAUGGAAAAGUAUUAGAAGGGCUUAACAGACCAACAAAUAUAUGCAGGCCACCAUUACCAUACUGGGGCUAAAUUUAAUUCCCCAACGAAGGCCAUACUAUAAAAGCAGAAAGCACUUUGAGGAAUUGUGAAAAACAUGAGGCAGAUAAUGGCAGCGAUAUUGCAUCACAUGUACUUGUUUGCUUCCUAUGACUUAGCUUCUUGUUUGCUUGUGUUAAUGCCGCAGGCAAACCAAAUGGCUUGACCAUGGAACUCAUCCACGUUGACUCGCCGGUAUCACCUCUCUAUCCCGGCAAUAUUUCUUAUGAAGAAGAAAUCCAAAGACUCAUAGAUCGAUCCAAUGCCCGAGCUCAAUACCUGCAUGCUACCCUGGCAUCCCUCGGCAACAAUAAUGUGUCACAAACUAUAAUCAACCCUCUUGAUAUUCGUCCGAAACACAAGAGAGGGGCCUUGCUUAGUAACUAAAGGGUAACCAUUAUUAAGUGUGAAUAAAUUGCCCGGCACAUUGAGAUUUGCAGUUAUAAAUGAAGUCUUAGUCAUCCUCUGUUCUGUACUGGAUGUUGAAAGAGCCAGCGAGCACCACUCGCUCACAACGAUGCUACUUAAAUGGAAAAGGCAGAAAUGUGAAGCAAUUAUCAUCGAUUAAUUAUGCCUUCCUUUCUAUGACCUGGCAAGCUUAGCUUUGUACCAAUUUAUUUUCUUUUUCCCAUUUAUUUUUGCUUCAACUUUUAUGAGCGGCCAUGCCUGCUAUGCUUGUACACUUGUUUAGGUUCCUAAUUUCGUGUUCAGUUAUGGGCAUUGGGCAUACUUUAUAUGAUAUCCCCUUCAUUCUUCUCUUCUGUGGUCAAGUUAAUUUUCAAAUAUGCAUGUAUGUGUGUGUGUGUGUAUAACUACACUUUUCUUACACUUUUCGCUUAUGGGGUUGGUAUUUCUUGAUUUUCUUUGUAAUCUAGUGCAUAUGCAGUGGCCCUGGAAUAAGCUGAAAUUGCAACAGAAGGGGCCCUAUUGCAUAGAAGAAAGUGUAUAUCUUUCUGUUUCUCAUCUUUUUAGUUUGUUAUGAAAUGCAAAGUUUUUAUUAUUUAUUAUUUCUUUUGUGGAGAAAAUACUCCAAUUAGUUUACUUACUAGAACUAUACUUGUUGGUUUUAGCAAGCAAGUUUGAGUUGAAAUUUGUUAUCGGACAUUGCAAAAGUCUUUAUAAGUCUUGGCCAUUUUACUAGAAUGGUUUGGAUUGAGCCACAUGGUGGAGCACGCAUGAACUCGACCUUCUGUUGACUUGGACUGAUCGGAUUUAAAUUAGUUUUUGCCCAAACAAAACCUAACUUUAAUAAUAUAUUAUCAAUCAAAUUAUCUUCUAAGAAUUGCAAUAGUUUGGUUUGUUUAAGACAAAGAGAAGAGGCAAAUGUAGGUGACUUUCAUAAGUUGGUGGGUCUACACUACACAUAGCAAGCCAACUUUGUUUGAGCAGGAAUAUGAAUAUUACUUGCAAGUUUUAUGAUAUAACUUGAAAUUCAAAUCUGUUAAUUAGUGUAGAGGACAAAAACAAAUUCCAUUUGUCACUGAGUAAACAUACAUGCAUUCUCCAAAUACAUUUAUUUAUUUAUAUGCAUCAAUUUAGUACAGAAAUGAAAGGACGAACCUUUUUUUUAGUAAAUUUGCUUAUGUGGUAAUGGCUCAUAGGGAAAUUGUUUUUAUUUUUUUAUUCAAUUUUUGAUAGGGAAAUUUAAGGUAAAUAAGCUGCUCAUAUAGAAAAGUAUUAUAUAUACAUAGAAGGGUUUAAUCAUAUGGACAACAAAUAUAUUACCAUACUGGGCUAAAUUUAAUUCCCAAGCUAAGGCCAUAGAUAUCACGUACGUACUAUAAAAAGCAGCAAGCACUAUGAGGAUUGCAACAACUAGCUAUGAGGCAGAUAAUGGCAGCAAUAAUAUUGCAAUGCAUCCUAUCACUCGGCUUCUUCCUUGCUUGCGUUUGCGUUAAUGCCGCAGGGAAACCAAAUGGCUUGACCAUGGAACUCAUCCAUGUGGACUCGCCGGCAUCACCUCUCUAUCCGGGAAAUAUUUCUUAUGAAGAAGAAAUCCAAAGACUCAUAGACCGAUCCAUUGCCCGAGCUCAACACCUUCAUUACACCUUGGCAUCCCUCGGUAACAAUAAUGUGUCACAAACUAUAAUCAACCCUCUUGACAUUCGUCCGAAACUUGAAUUUCACCCUUACGGCUCUUACCUUGUACAAGUUGGGAUUGGGACUUUUGAUGCAACUCUCCCGCCACGGUCAUUAAAUACAUACUACUUGUACACCGACACUGGAAGCAUCCUCACAUGGGUGCUGUGCGAGGAUUGUCUCAAGCCUGGAAACCAAUGCUUUCAAACCAAAGAACCCCCUUUCCCUAACAGCAAGUCCAAAUCUUAUGUUGCUCUCUGUUGCAAUCAAAACCCGUUUUGCAAGACAGGCCAAUGCACCGGUCCUUACUGCUCCCAGCACGAUGAGUACAUGGACGGCACCGUUGUCAAUUCUAUUCUUUCAGGCAUGAAUAUCUUAAUCUUUUUAGUAUUAAUUCUCGAAAAAUAUCGCAACUAACUAAUAAAUGACAACUGGUUGCUUUGCAUGCGCAGCUGAAAAUUUCAACUUUUUGUCAAGCAGUGGGCAGCCACUGAUGAUUCCAGGCGUAGUGUUUGGUUGUGCUUAUGACACCAGGAAAAUCAGUUUUGGAAGGCUGGAAGAGUUCAAGGUUGCAGGAAUAUUGGGUUUGGGAUAUGCUCCGAUUUCCUUUCCACUGCAACAAUCCUAUCAAACUGGUAAAGUAUUCUCAAUGUGCCUAACACGCCAAAGAGGGAUCCAAACAUAUCUCAGAUUUGGUAAGGACGUCCCCACACCACCAGGUGGUCUGCGUGUCACCAAAUUAGUGUUCUUCAAAGACGUACCAUAUUACUACGUCAAUCUGUUGGCCAUAAGUGUGCAUGGACAAAAGCUUCUCAUAGACCCAAAUGUGUUUGCUGUACGAAAUCAGGGCACAAGUGGCGGCUGCAUCAUGGACAAUGGUAGCUCAUUUACUUUUCUCAUCAGGCCUGCUUUUAAUGCUGUGGUUCAGUUUCUGGAGAUGUAUUUCAUGCGCUUUCCUCGCCUUUUUAAGGGUGGUAGGCCUCUUGGGCUCCCUUUUGAACUUUGCUACAAAUGGAUGACGCCGCUGCCACCUCUGCCUACUUUGACAUUUCACUUUGAAAAUGCUGACCUUGUGAUCAACCCACAGGAGUUAUUCAUAAAGGUGCAUGCUGAGCAGCAGGGGAACUAUCUCUUAUGUUUGGCCUUCUUCGCCGACGAUGCUCGUACUAUUCUUGGAUCAGUGCACCAAUCCAAUUACUUAUUCAUAUAUGAUCUUAACCAGAAGCUGUUGAAGUUUGCUCCUGAGGAUUGUUCUAAGAAUUCUUGAUCACCUCAAGCUUGAUAUAUCAUGUAAUCUCUCUUUCAUUUUCAUUCCAUCCAUGUGCUCUUUUUUUGUUCAAAAUAAUUAGUUCUUUUGCAACCUUGUAGAUUUUUAAAAAUGUUUUAAUCACCUCAAGCUUGACAUGAUUCACUACCACCACCAUGUCACCACCACCACAACUAAUUAACUUGUCAUGGCCAAUUACUCCCACCACCAUUGUCGCCACAAACAAUCAACCUAACUCUAAUGUAUUGAUAGGCACAGUAAAAAUUGUGCGAGAAAUGAAUCACACAACACCAUAACACAAUAUCAAUAGGCACAAUAAAGACUAAUAUACCUACUACUAAAAUUAUUUACCUAUAAUUUCAAGUAUGGAAAUUGACAUUAAGUAUCACAAAAAAUGAUAGGUAAAUUAUUAUCCAUAAAAAGAGAUAAGUUAUUAUUCAUAAAAGAUAAUAGGUAUAUUAUUAUCCAUAAAAUAAUAGGUAUAUUAUUAUCCAUAAAAUAAUAGGUACAGUAGAAAAUUAAUAGGUAUAUUAUCAUUCAUGAAAAAGAAACAAUUAGAUAUGUUGAUUUAGAAAAGAAAAAAAAUCAUGAAAUAGGUAAAUUAUUAUUCAAAAUCAAGUAACCAAUAAAUCAAAUGUUAAAAUAAAGAUUAGUUGUGUUAAAACAUUAAGAGAUAACACAUAAAAAUCAUAGGUAAAAACAUGAAUUUUUUCUAUUUCAAUGCCAAAAAAAGAAGAUAAAACUUACUAACAAAUCAACUUUAUGCUAAUCACCAUUUGAAAUUUAAAAAUUUAAUGAAAUGGAUAGACACAUAUGGCAAUUGAAUUGUAUAUAUAAACAAAAUAUGCUGAAAAUAAACUCAACACAAUAAAUGGAGACAACUCUCCUUAAAUAUCACAUGAACGGUUUGAUUAUUGUGUCUUGCGUCACAUUUACAGAGAGACGAAUGGGGUGGCUAACUGUCUCGCCAAAUGGAGUUACAACAUGGACUUGAGUCUAUAUACUUUUGAUCAUGUGCCUACUUGGGUGGGAUCCUUUCUAAUGGAUGAUUUGUUAAGGGUGCCCAGUUCUCCAAUUCAAUAUAGUUUCAAAACAAUCCCGCCAUGAUCCAUAUGUGCAGGCUGCAAUAUAUUGAUAUACUCUUUCCAAUUAAUUACAACACUCAUUCUAUCAAUAAGUCAAUUAGUGAGUAAUACUCUGACAUUCACGCAGACAGAAGAAAAAAAAAGGGGGUGACCAAAUUCAGAGUCCAGCAAGAUGAAAAUGAAAACCCACUUCUUGUGAGCAUCGACAAGAAGAACCAUCGCACCUGCACUGCACUGCACCUGAGGAUUGUAGUUGUGUUGUGAAUACUUUCCCUCAUCAUUGUCAUUGCACAUGCAUGCAUGCAGCAGCGGACUUAGGAAUUUUUCAACGGAUGUGCAAUUCUUAAAAGCUAAAAGCUAAAAAAAAAAAACGCAGGACUCUUGUGAUGCACGCACUCUUUGGACGAUGUUAAAUUGGUUUUUUAUAAAGAGAAUUCUCAAUCCCAUUUAAAUAAGGAAUUCUCAAAACCCAAUUGAAUAAAGAGAAUUUUUAAUUAAAACCCAAUUAGGUACGAAUUAUAACAGCCCUUUAGAAGCCCACGAAUGGCCUAACAGUUUCCCCUUCUUUUUUGUUUUUUUUUAUCUUUGGCCUUUUAGGAAGAAAAAAAAGGAGGUCUCCACCUACAGUAAGAAUAGUGGCAAGGAUGUAAUUAUCCACCUCAAAACCCUCUGUUCGAAUCCAAUACAUGAGCUUCAUAGCCUCCUGGCAGAGACCAUUCUUUGCAUAACCCACUAUCAUAGCCUUCCAAGAAACCAAAUUCCGUUCUGGCAUGCUGUCAAACUUGAAAUGCCUCCAUUACAUACCACAUUUUGCAUACAUAGAAAUCAAAGCGCUACCCACAAAAACAUUAGACAUGACAGGAUUUUUAUUUGCAGAGGAGUGAAUCAAUUUCCUGUGCAGAACGGUUUCCAGCUGGGCGCAUGCUUUCAAAGCGGAUGAGUAAGUAAAUGCAUUGGGCUCUACCCCAUCCUCCAUCAUUUCAUUCAAGAGCAGCGCACAGCAGCGCAAUUCACUUGUGCAUUUCAUCGAACAGCUUCCAUGCAUGAGUAGAGGUUCUGCAGCUUUUAUGGAGUUUUCAGGAGACCGGAUGUAACACCCGACCCCAAAUUUAACCCUUAUUUAAUUAUUUAAUUAUUUAAGGGCAUUUUGGCCAUAUUUUUAACCGGAGAGAGUUUGGGGCAGUGACUAGUAUUUUUGGAUAGGUCGUACUGAGACGAGUUCAUAGACACGUAGUGGGUUCGAAUCGGAGUUGUAACGAGAGUGAUAUGGUCAAAAGAAGCCCAGUGGCACAAUCGUAAAUAUUUCGAAAUGGGAUUUUUUAUAAAACUUAGAUUUUUUUUCUCUCUCUCUCUCCCGCGACUUCUCUCUCUCUCCCGUCGGCUCUCUCUCUUUUUCUCCUCGUAUCUCCGGCCACCGACAACGGCUGUGGGCGGGGCCGGUACCAAAACGACCGGGACGACGUCCCCUUCCUUCCCCGACCGUUCCCCGCCGGCGACGCGGCCUGUGCUGGCCGGAAAAUGUGCAGAAAACUGCCGGGAGGUCAUCGAAACUUCAACGCCGUCGAUCUCCCUCCUCCGGCCACCAUUUUCGUCGACCCAGGUAUGGAUCUUGAACUUCUCGAGCUGUUCUAGCUGCCUGUUGGUUGGGUUUUGAUCGAUUCGAUAUCUAGAUCACUCGAUUUUUGAAUUGAAAAUCGGUCGAAAAUUCAGCCGCCGUGAUCGGCCAUUUCCAGCCACUUUUUGGGGUAGGUCCAAGAACAAAAGUGGCUCCAAAUAGGGUGUUAUACCUAGGGUAGGAGUUUGGAGCCGUGGUUUUGAGAUUUUCCGGCGAAGCUUUAUCGCUUUGGGCACCCACGCGCUGUAGAAAAAGUAGCGAUGUGUUUCAAUGAGAUCCUUAGGUUGUCAUGAGUGCGUAGGAUUUCGCGGAUCUCAAUUCGGACGUCGUUUGACUAUCGAACGGAUAAUCGCAUAGUGUGCGUUAUCCGGGUUUGAUAGGUUGGGACCGUUGGAUGGUCCCAAAUUUAAUAUAUGUUAAUCUAGGUAAUUUUAGGAUCGUCUAGGAAUUCACGGAUCGUGAAUCGGAGCCCCGGAUGUUCCGAAUAAUAAUUUAAAGUUUAUAUUUUAUAUUAACCGUCAGAUCGUGCGAUCGUGAGAAAUCCGACCGUCCGAUCUGAACCAAACUCGCAGGACAAGUGUCCUAUACCUGGUAGAACCCAUAGAGACUUUCGGAUCGGAAAUUGGAGGUCGUGGGUUCUACAGGUCCGUUUGACCAGGGUUAGAGUAGUUUGACCCUUGGUUGACCGUGAGUCUCCCGGAGUAAUCUCACCCUUCCAGGGGGGAUUAUCAGGAGCUAGACUAUUGUGGAGGGUUACACAAAUUAGAAUUAUUUAUAUAAUUAUAUAUGGUUGUACAAGGGUACAACAGAGUCUAGAAUGUCAGUUUGGAGUGCUAUACGCACUACUGUAGGUACCUCCCCGGAUUUUGGAUUCACUACAAGCACCACCAAGUGAAAAUUAGGUCCCACGUGGCGUAGGUUAUCCGGCGUUGGGACAGACCCCAUACGUGGCGUUGGUUGUACCGGCGUAUGGGGAUCUAUUGUGAUAUUGUGUUGAGGUCGCACGUGGCGUAGGUUAUUCGGCGUGUCGACAGACCCCAUACGUGGCGUUGGUUGUACCGGCGUAUGGGGAGAUUUGUGAUAUGAUGUUGAGAUCCCGCGUGGCGUAGGUUAUCCGGCUUUGGGACAGGCCCCAUACGUGGCGUUGGUUGUACCGGCGUAUGGGGAGUUAUGUGAUAUGAUGUGUAGGUCUCACGUGGCGUAGGUUAUUUGGCGUUGAGACAGACCCCAUACGUGGCGUUGGUUGUACCGGCGUAUGGGGAGAGAUUAUGAUAGUAUGGCAUGGUCGCACAUGGCGUAGGUUAUCCGGCGUGUUGACAGGCCCCAUACGUGGCGUUGGUUGUACCGGCGUAUGGGGAGAUUAUGUGAGAUACAGAGAAAUGAAAUAAGGUAUCGCUUAAGUGUGGAAUUGGGUUUUAAGGAAGAACUACGUGUGGCUUGAUCCCUCAAGGAGGGUACGUAGGCAGCCUAAGGUUAUUAGGUGCAGCCGCAGACUAAAUAUUAGUCAUAUUUGGUAUUUGAAUUGUUUGGUAGUUGUUUGAGAAUUAUUGGAAGGCCGAAGGCCAUUUAUGAGAAUUUGCAUGAAAUUAUAUUGUGCAUGCUGCCAGUUGAAAUGCGUUUUUAUGCAGGUUGAAAUUUUGGGAAAUGUCCAAUUUAUAGGGGAGACUUUGCCGAAAUUUCGGCAGGAAGUCUCGGUUUUUAGUAAGUGGGCCCGGCAUCGGGGUGAUGUCAGGAAUUCCAAAGGGUUCGUCCCGGGUUUUGAGAAAAUUCGGGGCGGGUCCUUUCACCGGAAGUGCAGGUGCACUUCCUUGCGCCUGCACAGGUCCGCCACUGCAUGCAUGAGACAAUUUAGUACAGAAAAUUAAAGAACGAGCCCCUGGGGAAAUUUAAGGUAAAGAAGCUGCUCAUAUGGAAACGUAUUAGAAGGGCUUAACAGACCAACAAAUAUAUGCAGGCUACCAUUACCAUACUGGGCUAAAUUUAAUUCCACAACGAAGGCCAUACUAUAAAAGCAGCCAGCACUUUGAGGAAUUGUGAAAAACAUGAGGCAGAUAAUGGCAGCGAUAUUGCAUCACAUGUACUUGUUUGCUUCCUGUCACUUAGCUUCUUGCUUACUUGUGUUAAUGCCGCAGGCGAACCAAAUGGCUUGACCAUGGAACUCAUCCCCGUUGACUCGCCGGUAUCACCUCUCUAUCCCGGCAAUAUUUCAUAUGAUGAAGAAAUCCAAAGACUCAUAGACCGAUCCAGUGCCCGAGCUCCAUACCUGCAUGCUACCUUGGCAUCCCUCGGCAACAAUAAUGUGUCACAAACUAUAAUCAACCCUCUUGAUAUUCGUCCGAAACACAAGAGAGGGGCCUUGCUUAGUAACUAAAGGGUAACCAUUAUUAAGUGUGAAUAAAUUGCCCGGCACAUUGAGAUUUGCAGUUAUAAAUGAAGUCUUAGUCAUCCUCUGUUCUGUACUGGAUGUUGAAAGAGCCAGCGAGCACCACUCGCUCACAACGAUGCUACUUAAAUGGAAAAGGCAGAAAUGUGAAGCAAUUAUCAUCGAUUAAUUAUGCCUUCCUUUCUAUGACCUGGCAAGCUUAGCUUUGUACCAAUUUAUUUUCUUUUUCCCAUUUAUUUUUGCUUCAACUUUUAUGAGCGGCCAUGCCUGCUAUGCUUGUACACUUGUUUAGGUUCCUAAUUUCGUGUUCAGUUAUGGGCAUUGGGCAUACUUUAUAUGAUAUCCCCUUCAUUCUUCUCUUCUGUGGUCAAGUUAAUUUUCAAAUAUGCAUGUAUGUGUGUGUGUGUGUAUAACUACACUUUUCUUACACUUUUCGCUUAUGGGGUUGGUAUUUCUUGAUUUUCUUUGUAAUCUAGUGCAUAUGCAGUGGCCCUGGAGCAAGCUGAAAUUGCAACAGAAGGGGGCCUAUUGCAUAGAAGAAAGUGUAUAUCUUUCUGUUUCUCAUCUUUUUAGUUUGUUAUGAAAUGCAAAUUUUUUAUUAUUUAUUAUUUCUUUUGUGGAGAAAAUACUCCAAUUAGUUUAAUUACUAGAACUAUACUUGUUGGUUUUAGCAAGCAAAUUUGAGUUGAAAUUUGUUAUCGGACAUUGCAAAAGUCUUUAUAAGUACGUCUUGGCCAUUUUACUAGAUUGGUUUGAAUUGAGCCACAUGGUGGAGCACGCGUGAACUCGACCUUCUGUUGACUUGGACUGAUCGGAUUUAAAUUAAUUUUUGCCCAAACAAAACCUAACUUUAAUAAUAUAUUAUCAAUCAAAUUAUCUUCUAAGAAUUGCAAUAGUUUGGUUUGUUUAAGACAAAGAGAAGAGGAAAAUGUAGGUGACUUUCAUAAGUUGGUGGGUCUACACUACACAUAGCAAGCCAACUUUGUUUGAGCAGGAAUCUGAAUAUUACUUGCAAGUUUUAUGAUAUAACUUGAAAUUCAAAUCUGUUAAUUAGUGUAGAGGACAAAAACAAAUUCCAUUUGUCAUUGAGUAAACAUACAUGCAUUCUCCAAAUACAUUUAUUUAUUUAUAUGCAUCAAUUUAGUACAGAAAUGAAAGGACGAACCUUUUUUUAGUAAAUUUGCUUAUGUGGUAACGGCUCAUAGGGAAAUUGUUUUUAUUUUUAUUUAAUUUUUUAUAGGGAAAUUUAAGGUAAAUAAGCUGCUCAUAUAGAAAAGUAUUAUAUAUACAUAGAAGGGUUUAAUCAUAUAGACAACAAAUAUAUUACCAUACUGGGCUAAAUUUAAUUCCCCAGCUAAGGCCAUAGAUAUCACGUACGUACUAUAAAAAGCAGCAAGCACUAUGAGGAUUGCAACAACUAGCUAUGAGGCAGAUAAUGGCAGCAAUAAUAUUGCAAUGCAUCCUAUCACUCGGCUUCUUCCUUGCUUGCGUUUGCGUUAAUGCCGCAGGGAAACCAAAUGGCUUGACCAUGGAACUCAUCCAUGUGGACUCGCCGGCAUCACCUCUCUAUCCGGGCAAUAUUUCUUAUGAAGAAGAAAUCCAAAGACUCACAGACCGAUCCAUUGCCCGAGCUCAACACCUUCAUUACACCUUGGCAUCCCUCGGUAACAAUAAUGUGUCACAAACUAUAAUCAACCCUCUUGACAUUCGUCCGAAACUCGAAUUUUACCCUUACGGCUCUUACCUUGUACAAGUUGGGAUUGGGACUUUUGAUGCAACUUUCCCGGCAAGGUCAUUCAAUACAUACUACUUGUACACCGACACUGGAAGCAUCCUCACAUGGGUGCUGUGCGAGGAUUGUCUCAAGCCUGGAAACCAAUGCUUUCAAACCAAAGAACCCCCUUUCCCUAACAGCAAGUCCAAAUCUUAUGUUGCUCUCUGUUGCAAUCAAAACCCGUUUUGCAAGACAGGCCAAUGCACCGGUCCUUACUGCUCCCAGCACGAUGAGUACAUGGACGGCACCGUUGUCAAUUCUAUUCUUUCAGGCAUGAAUAUCUUAAUCUUUUUAGUAUUAAUUCUCGAAAAAUAUCGCAACUAACUAAUAAAUGACAACUGGUUGCUUUGCAUGCGCAGCUGAAAAUUUCAACUUUUUGUCAAGCAGUGGGCAGCCACUGAUGAUUCCAGGCGUAGUGUUUGGUUGUGCUUAUGACGUCAGGAAAAUCAGUUUUGGAAGACGGGAAGAGUUCAAGGUUGCAGGACUAUUGGGUUUGGGAUAUGCUUCGAUUUCCUUUCCACUGCAACAAUCCUAUCAAACUGGUAAAGUAUUCUCAAUGUGCCUAACACGCCAAAGAGAGAUCCAAACAUAUCUCAGAUUUGGUAAGGACGUCCCCACACCACCAGGUGGUCUGCGUGUCACCAAAUUAGUGUUCUUCAAAGACGUACCAUAUUACUACGUCAAUCUGUUGGCCAUAAGUGUGCAUGGACAAAAGCUUCUCAUAGACCCAAAUGUGUUUGCUGUACGAAAUCAGGGCACAAGUGGCGGCUGCUUCAUGGACAAUGGUACCUCAUUUACUUUUCUCAUCAGGCCUGCUUUUAAUGCUGUGGUUCAGUUUCUGGAGAUGUAUUUCAUGCGCUUUCCUCACCUUAUUAAGGGUGGUAGGCCUCUUGGGCCCCCUUUUGAACUUUGCUACAAAUGGAUGACGCCGCUGCCACCUCUGCCUACUUUGACAUUUCACUUUGAAAAUGCUGACCUUGUGAUCAACCCAGAGGACUUAUUCAUAAAGGUGAAUGCUGAUCAGCAGGGGAACGAUCUCUUUUGUUUGGCCUUCAUCGCCAACGAUGCUCGUACUAUUCUUGGAUCAAUGCACCAAUCCAAUUACUUAUUCAUAUAUGAUCUUAACCAGAAGCUGUUGAAGUUUGCUCCUGAGGAUUGUUCUAAGAAUUCUUGAUCACCUCAAGCUUGAUAGAUCAUGUAAUCUCUCUUUCAUUUUCAUUCCAUCCAUGUGCUCUUUUUUUGUUCAAAAUAAUUAGUUCUUUUGCAACCUUAUAGAUUUUUAAAAAUGUUUUAAUCACCUCAAGCUUGAUAUGAUUCACACUACCACCACCAUGUCAUGACUAUCAUUGCCACUCGCCACCAUGUCACCACCACCACAACUAACUUGUCAUGGCCAAUUACUCCCACCACCAUUGUCGCCACAAACAAUCAACCUAAAUCUAAUGUAUUGAUAGGCACAGUAAAAAUUGUGCGAGAAAUGAAUCACAAAACACCAUAACACAAUAUCAAUAGGCACAAUAAAGACUAAUAUACCUACUACUAAAAUUAUUUACUUAUAGUUUCAAGUAUGGAAAUUGACAUUAAGUAUCACAAAAAAUGAUAGGUAAAUUAUUAUCCAUAAAAAGAGAUAAGUUAUUAUUCAUAAAAGAUAAUAGGUAUAUUAUUAUCCAUAAAAUAAUAGGUACAAUAGAAAAUUAAUAGGUAUAUUAUCAUUCAUGAAAGAGAAACAAAUAGAUAUGUUGAUUUAGAAAAGAAAAAAAAUCAUGAAAUAGAUAAAUUAUUAUUCAAAAAAUUUAAAAAUCAAGUAACCAAUAAAUCAAAUGUUAAAAUAAAGAUUAGUUGUGUUAAAAUAUUAGGAGAUAACACAUAGAAAUCAUAGGUAAAAACAUGAAUUUUUUCUAUUUUAAUGCCAAAAAAAGAAGAUAAAAACUUACUGACAAAUCAACUUUUGUUGUAAAUGCAUGAGUUGGUGGAUGACCACCAUACCUCUUAAUAUUCCUGUUUGGGCCCAAAUUCGGCACGCCCAAGACCAGAAGGCAGGCCCAUUAUAAAAUUGCCUGCCCAGCCCAGAGAUUUGAGAAAAAAAUAAAAUCCAAACAGUUUGGGCUUCACACCAAAAACGUUGGAAAUAAAGCCUCAGCCCAAAGAAAGCCCAGAUGUGGAAACUUUCGAAGACACACCCACGUGAUUGCCUCAGCUUUGGAAAAGUCAGCAAUAUCAACUAAAAUUUAAAAAUGUGAGAGGGACGUCUCUGAAACACUGCUAAUUGAAGAUCAAAAACCCAUCUGUGUUCAAGAUUUUGCUCCAAAUCAAUACACCAUCUCCCAAGAAAUUCACGGAUCACGCUUUCUAAAUUAGAACGGGAAACAGGGAACCACUCAGAAAAUACAAAAGAAAAAGAGCCAAAACCGCCAUAAAAAGCCCACACAGACGGUGGCGUUGGUUGAAUUAGAAAGCUGCCACCCAGAAAAUCAGGGAAGGGACUGUUUUUAGGAGGUGACUGCUCAGAACCUAUCUAAAAAACCCUUCUUACUUUACAUUAUAAGAGAUCUUUUUGCCGCCCAUUGUUUAAAAGAUUAAAAAUGACCUCCUUAGGAGGAUCUCUUAUAAAAGCGAAAGAAGGCAAAGAAACAGGACACUCAAUUCAUCAAUCAAUAAAAAAAAAAACAAAUAAGAAAAAGUUCACUUGGAUCCCAAGAGAAAAAAACAGCUUUAGAUCAGAAUCCCAAAGUUCAGACUUAGAAAAUAAGUCUUCUGAAAACGAGAUCCUUCUCGUUACAAAUUUGGUUCAGCAAAGCCAAGACAAACAUAGUUUGAGUUUUUACCAAUAUGAAAACCUCAACAAAUUUUACAGCAUAGUUCCAGCUUGCUAAAUCCUCGAGAAUAGCCACUUCUGUCCCUUCAAACUGAAGAAUUCCUGCAGUUCUGCCCGCUCAAAAGUCUCCUAAGGCUUGAAGUAGAUUGAAGCUCUGCCAAAAUUGAACUUUGGUAUCGAUUUACAGCUGAAGCCAAGCAGCCAAAGUUGUUAACAGCACAGUCCAGCACAGACAUACCCAAUCCAGCCCGGAUCAGAAGUUUCUACCUAGGCAGAAAUGGGAUUCCAGCCAUCUUCUUGUCUUUCUAGGGUUGAUUUCUCCCUUCUUAAUUUUGUAAAAGGCAGUUCUGCCUGAAACAGUAUUUUAUUAUUAUCUAUUCUGGUCAGAACAACCAUUUGAUACUGAGAUAGAUUAUGAAAGUCCUCACCAGUCUGAGGCAAGAAAAGAACUUACUUGGGAGAUAUUCCUCACCCAAAUUCACAAUCCUUUGUUUUAGAAGUCAGUAACUUGAGGCGCAAGUUAUCCAAUCUAAAAAUAAGUCUGCUAGAAUUUACUUUGCUAACAGUGGCACGCUCGCACACCAAAGAAAGCUGACUUGUCGACCAACAAGUGGUCUCCAAGCCAGUGGGGAACUUCGCCCUUCCACCUCAGGAGUAAAACACGAAAACGGGUGAACAAUUCCACCGUUGGAUUUUAUGUAACCUAUACACUAAGUAUUUGUAAUUAGUACUUGUAACCUAUAGGUAUAUUGUAAAUGAUGGUAUUCAAUCUUCUAUCUUGUAAGCCUAUAAAUAUGUGGUUCUACCAAAGAUUAAGGAAGGAAUAAACAUGGUGAAGCUUUAUCUUUAGCAUAUCACUUCUCUCUACAUUUUCUCCCUCUAGUUUUAUAACACGUUAUCAGCACGACAUUACUCUUGGUAUGUUUUCUUUCUCUGAAUUUUUUUUCUUCUUAUAUGAGCUAGAGUCAUCACAUGAUAUAGAGUUUCUUUGUACUCACCAUCAGACUUCAUCAUGCUUGUUUAAAAAAAAAAUUCUUAUUCUUAUUACACAUGAAUAUAAUGCCAUGUUUUUGUUUUUAUUUGUUUGUUUAUUUAAUUUUAAGUAUGAUCUUAAUUAUUAUGAUGAGUUUGAAUUAUACAAAAGAUUAUGGGCCCGAAGUUCCGUGAUCCUCAUCAUAUAACUAGAUUAGGAUAUAGAGUCCUUUUGAUUGAAUCAGAACCUGAAGUUCUUUGAUUCCAAAUAAUUGAGGGCGUGAAGUUCCGCGAAUUUAAAGAGCACAUAAGGACAUAAAACUCCUCGAUUUUGUAUUAAUCAAAAUCAGAAUUCCAUGAGGCCUACAUAUGUCAAGAACUUGAACUAGAAGUUUCGAGUGCAUAUACAUCGAUUUGAGUAUGAAGUUCAAAGCACAACUAUUAAUUCAAUUUAUUUAGAUCUACGUAUUCGUACCUGAAGUUUCGAAUAUAUAUUGAUAUGAACCUGAAGUUCAUAGUUUUUCAUGGAUCUUAAUACUAUAUAUGAACUUGAAGUCCAUUACUUAUUUGUGCCUAUAUGAACCUGAAUUGGUUGGAAAUCCAAUUCUUAAACUUGUAGUUUUAUCUACAUAUUGAAUCCACAUUAAUAUUGGAUUAUCUUGGAAUUUCAUAAUCUUUAAUUGAUUUAUUUUAUUCCUUGUUUAUACCACUUUACUUAUUUUAUUAUAUUUUAUUUUAUUUAUGUUAGGUUAUUAAUUAAUUUCGUUUUACAAUGGUAAUGUUUUGUAUUACCGCCCCAAUAUUGAUAGUCAGAGGCGUCUAUUAGAGAAACUUCCUACUUUCUUUUGUGGGUAGGAAGUUUAUGAUGUUAUGAACCAAAAGUUCUUGAGGCCCCAAUAUUACACAACUAUUAUAGUUGAAGAUUAUGAUGUCAUGAACUAGAAGUUCAUUGACCGAAUAACUUUUAUGUUGUGACAUGACUAUCUUGGCAAUCCAUGUCCCACAAUGAUGCAUAAGAUUUUUAUAAAUUUUGUAAGGACAUCGUUUAAAGACUCAAAUUAUUGUCUUGUCCAACAAUAUCAUUACAAAGAACGCUCACAAAUAAAAGCUGUCAUAAGAUCAUCUCAGUCAAAAAUUGACUUUGAGCCAUCUUUCCUGAAAUAAUUCAAGGGGAUAUUUGUGAGCCUAUACAACAUCUAAUUAUGGAUCACUUCACCAGUUUUACUGAAUGUGCCUACUAAAAUGGUCACAUAUUUGACAACGACUGUGAGUUUAUUUUCCUACAUUUUGAGACAAUUUUCCCGCCGUUAGGGGGAGAAAUGACAAUUCCUGAAGAACGUCGCGAAAUAGUGUUGAAUCAAUCCGCUUUUGUCUCAUCAAGAUAAUGCAUAUAUAAGUUGUACAUAUGCUAACAUGGAUUGAUAUUCUCGUAUUACAAUCCAUUAACAUGGUGACUAUAUAUAUAAUGCGCUGCCUGAAGCAUGUCAGAAAUAUAGGUUCUAAAGACUUAACUCCUCAGAAAUGGAGAUUAUUUGAAAAAUUCAAGCCCUAUAAAAAAUAACGCUCUAUAGGAGGUUAUGAUCCACAUAUUCUAAAUAAUUCAUUGUAAAAGAGAUGUUUGUCCCAUAAGUGACAACAUAAGCCCCUGAAGAGGCAUUGGUACCCCAAAGCAAUGAGAUGAUUAUAAAUUAUGCAUGUGCAUGCACAUAAGAAUUGUGGGAUCACAAAUUGAUGAUACAUUUGGUUUAUUAGUAGCUACUACAAUCAUCAAGGGCUAUGAUUAUAUUAAAUCACAUUUCAUGAAUGUCGACAAGUUAAGUGAUUGGCCAAAAAUGGAAAUAGGCAAUUUCAUUUAUCACUAAAUAAGAAGAGUUGGAUAUUGAACCUAUAACUCAAACACCAAAUUACAAAUGUUCAGUAUGAAGGUUACGAAUUGGUGUUUAUGAAGUGAAAUAAGAUCACUAAUAUGACAUAAGGUUUUCUGGGAGAGACAUGUGAUUUUAGUCUCCAAUCUCAUCGUAAAUGCAUCCACAUUUCUAUAAGUGCGGUUGUUACUUUAACGCAAAACUUAUAGUAUGUGUUAAAUGCAUAUUUAUUAAGACUAUAUGGUACAUGGAAAUCCUCAAAGCUCAUGAAAUAUUUGAGAUAUAUCGGAUGAAGCAACCUCUUGAAGGAUAUAAAGUACCACAAUAUUCUUAAUUAAGAGUUAACACUAAGAGUUUGAGUAUUUUGAAUUCAAAUUUGAUAUUGUUGUAACAUAUUCUAACUACUAAAUUAGUUGUUGAUACUCCUAAAGAUUUCAAUCAUUUGAAAAGUGAAAAGCAGGUUGAAUAGUGUGAUAGAUGAUCAUGUAUGAAGACAAUGUUGCUUGUAUUGCUCAAAUCAGAGAAGGAGAGAUAUUAAUCAGGGGGAGAUAUCAAUCAGGGGGAGCAUCCCAAUUCUACUACAUUCAAGGCAGAUGUGCGUUGUACUCUUUUUCCCUUCGACUAGGUUUUUGUCCCACUGGGUUUUUCCUAGCAAGGUUUUAACGAGGCAAUAUAAGCUCAUCCAACACCAUAUCAAUGAUUCAGAAGAAAGUUUCAUUCUUUUUCCCUUCGCUUUGGUUUUGUCCCACUGGGUUUUCCAAGCAAGGUUUUUAAUGAGGAAACAAUGUUAUUGUAUGGUGGACAUCCAAGGGGGAGUGUUGUAAAUGCAUGAGUUGGUGGAUGACCACCAUACCUCUUAAUAUUCCACCGUUGGAUUUUAUGUAACCUAUGCACUAAGUAUUUGUAAUUAGUACUUGUAACCUAUAGGUAUAUUGUAAAUGAUGGUAUUCAAUCUUCUAUCUUGUAAGCCUAUAAAUAGGUGGUUCUACCAAAGAUUAAGGAAGGAAUAAACAUGGUGAAGCUUUAUCUUUAGCAUAUCACUUUUCUCUACAUGUUCUCCCUCUAGUUUUAUAACAACUUUAUGCUAAUCACCAUUUGAAAUUUAAAAAUUUAAUGAAAUGGAUAGACACGUAUGGCAAUUGAAUUGUAUAUAUAAACAAAAUAUGCUGAAAAUAAACUCAACACAAUAAAUGGAGACAACUCUCCUUAAAUAUCACAUGAACGGUUUGAUUAUUGUGUCUUGUGUCACAUUUACAGAGAGACGAAUGGGGUGGCUAACUGUCUCGCCAAAUGGAGUUACAACAUGGACUUGAGUCUAUAUACUUUUGAUCAUGUGCCUACUUGGGUGGGAUCCUUUCUAAUGGAUGAUUUGUUAAGGGUGCCCAGUUCUCCAAUUCAAUAUAGUUUCAAAACAAUCCCGCCAUGAUCCAUAUGUGCAGGCUGCAAUAUAUUGAUAUACUCUUUCCAAUUAAUUACAACACUCAUUCUAUCAAUAAGUCAAUUAGUGAGUAAUACUAUGACAUUCACGCAGACAGAAGAAAAAAAAAGGGGGGGGACCAAAUUCAGAGUCCAGCAAGAUGAAAAUGAAAACCCACUUCUUGUGAGCAUCGACAGGAAGAACCAUCGCGCCUGCACCCGAGGAUUGUAGUUGUGUUGUGAAUACUUUCCCUCAUCAUUGUCAUUGCACAUGCAUGCAUGAGACAAUUUAGUACAGAAAAUUAAAGAACGAGCCCCUGGGGAAAUUGAAGGUAAAGAAGCUGCUCAUAUGGAAAAGUAUUAGAAGAGCUUAACAGACCAACAAAUAUAUGCAGGCUACCAUUACCAUACUGGGCUAAAUUUAAUUCCCCAACGAAGGCCAUACUAUAAAAGCAGCAAGCACUUUGAGGAAUUGUGAAAAACAUGAGGCAGAUAAUGGCAGCGAUAUUGCAUCACAUGUACUUUUUUGCUUCCUAUCACUUAGCUUCUUGCUUGCUUGUGUUAAUGCCGCAGGCAAACCAAAUGGCUUGACCAUGGAACUCAUCCCCGUUGACUCGCCGGUAUCACCUCUCUAUCCCGGCAAUAUUUCUUAUGAAGAAGAAAUCCAAAGACUCAUAGAUCGAUCCAAUGCCCGAGCUCAAUACCUGCAUGCUACCCUGGCAUCCCUCGGCAACAAUAAUGUGUAACAAACUAUAAUCAACCCCCUUGAUAUUGUCCGAAUCUCGAAUUUUACCCUCUCGGCAAUUACCUUGUACAAGUUGGCAUCGGGGCAUUUGAUGCAACUUUCCCUGCAAGGCCGUUCAAAACAUACUAUUUGUACGUCGAUACUGGAAGCAGCCUCUUAUGGGUGCUGUGUGAGGACUGUAAAAAGCCUGGAAACCAAUGCUUUCAAACCAGGGAACCCCCUUUCCCUAACAGCCAGUCCAAAUCUUAUAUCCCUCUCUGUUGCAAUCAGCACCCCUUUUGCAAGCCAAACGUUUGCGUCGGUGCUUACUGCUCCCAGCACGUUGAGUACAUGGGUGGCCCUGCUGUCCAUUCCAUUCUUUCAGGCAUGAUCAUUUAUUCAAAAAAACAUUCCUAUAUAUAUAUAUAUAUUAGUAUAUUAGAUUUAUUAAGGGCACCAAUCACUGCUCCAAUUAUUGCAACUAAUGUGACACAUAACAUGACAGUCGCUCAUCGAUGAAAAUUCGAUAUUGAUAUAACUUGUGAUUUGGUUGCAGUUGAAAAUUUCAACUUGUUGUCAAGCGGUGGGCAGCUGCAGCCGGUUCCAGGCGUAGUGUUUGGUUGUGCUUAUGACACCAGGAGAAUGACUUUUGGUAGGCAGGAAGACUUCAAGAUUGCAGGACUAUUGGUUUGGGAUAUGGUCCCAGUUCCCUUCCACUGCAACAAAACUAUCUUAGUGGUGGAGUAUUCUCACACUGCCUAACACGCCGAAGUGAUGUUCAAACAUUUCUCAGAUUUGGUACAGACAUCCCCACACCACCAGGCUUUCUGCGUGUCAAGAGAUUUGUGCUUUUCAAAGAAGUACCAUUCUACUACGAGAAUCUGUUGGGCAUAAGUGUACAUGGACAGAAGCUUCUCAUAGAUCCGUUGGUGUUUGCUAUACGAAAUCAGGGCACAGCAGGAGGUUGUAUCAUGGACAAUGGUGCCUCAUUUACUUUUCUCAUCACGCCUGCUUUUGAGGCUCUGGUUCAGUUUCUGGAGAUGUAUUUUAUGCGCUAUCCUCGCUUAGCUAGGGCUCCUGGUCCUCGUGCACCCUCGUUUGAACUUUGCUAUAAAUGGACGAUGCCGCCGGCGGUUGAGGUGCAGCUGCCAACAUUGACAUUUCACUUUGAAAAUGCUGACCUUGGGGUACAGCCAUCGGAGGCAUUCAUAACGGCGAAGGUUGAUUCGCAGGGAAAUGAGGCUGUGUUUGGCGUUCUUGCGAGACGAUGAGCGUACUCUCUUGGGAUCAUUCCAGCAAUCGAAUUACAGAUUCGUAUAUGACCUUAACAGGUAGCAGUUGAAGUUUGUUCCUGAGGAUUGUGCUAAUAAUUCUUAAUCAGAUCAAGCUUGAUAGAUCAUGUCUCUCUUUCUAUCCAUCCACAUGUUCUUUUUGGUUGAAAAUAAUUAGUUCUCUUCAAUGGCUUUGCAACUUUUUAGAUUUCUUUCAUGAUUUAAUCACCUAGUAUAUUUUUCUUUCUUUUGUCCGAGCUGGAUCCUCUCAUUUUGUAGAAGAUGUUCAAGAUUUUCAGAAUUUACGCAUCUCAGGGCAAAGAUAUAUCCAAGCCAUUUUGCAAUUCAAUGAUUUUCAGAUGACUAUAUGCAGCAUAAAGACUGCAAUUCAAUGAUUUCCCAUGUUUUUUCUACUUUCAUCUUCUAUGAAUGAGCAUAUCUGAUAAGCCCAAAUGUAACUUAAAACACACGUACGCAUGCACGCACAAAAAAAAUACGAAUACUUGAAGAAAAGUAUGGAUAUUUAAACAUGAAAUUCCAUCCAUGGCCCAUAAAAUUAAACACAUGUAUAAAGACCACAGUAACCUAACUGAGUUCCUGUCAUAACUAACUUAACACAACAGAAAAAGAGGUUAAGUUGAACAUGAUGAGAUGCUUUGUACAUCAGAGUUAUCCAAAUACAAGAUUUUACAUUUACUUUUUCUUUCAGAAACCAGCAACCAAAUGAGCCAAGCUAUAAUUUCAAAAGCUUCUGAAUACAAGAUUAAUAAUAAAUAAUUCCCUAGCAAAGCAAAAAUGUCAUAUUUUCUCAGGACCGCAUACCGAUGUUUCAAUGGCUCCUAGCAAAGCAAAAUGUCGCAAAUUCUGUCUUGAGCUAUUCCUCAUCUGAUUGUCAAAGCUGUUGAAUACUUAUGCCAUUAUACAAAAUUAAAAGCGGAUGCCAAGGAAAAUAUAUAAGAACAGGAAAGUGUGUUCAUAGCCCUUGCUCCCAUUCACUUCUACCCGGAAGAAGAAGAAGAUGUGUGAAUAGGAAGACAUCAAAGUGUGCUGUAACUGUCAUAUUUCCUUACCAUUCUCCUCAGUGAUCCAUCUUCGCAAAACGUCCUUUAAUUCUUGUCCUACUUUCUGCCCGAACCUUCCGCGAUUCGUACCUGAUGUGCUUUUCAUACCUGGUCAUUGUUUCCAAGCAAACAUAUGUCACAUACCAAAAUCCAAAGAUGCUGACAUGAUAACAUUCAUGACAGGCCAAGCAGAAAAGGAGGUGCACAAAUAAGUUAGGCUGAUAAAUACACCACAACCGCCACUUGAUGCAAAUAAUAUCAGAUUAGACUCACAAGUGAUAAUGAUAAUAAAGAAUUUAUAAACUUCCCUCCAAUUCUGAACUUCUCCAUCAAUCACUAACAACCUCAACAAGAUUUCAAGUAUAAAAGAAAGACCUCAGUUACUAAUAUAAAUUUUGAAAUUAUAAACAUAUAAAUUUCAGAAUCUCAUUGGCAUGAAACGAACUUUGCAAUCCUAUCAAGUCAAAAAUUUUAAACUUAGAAGAGAUACUUGUGGCAAAUGGGGGUGUAAUACCUUCUUGUUUUCUUCUUCUCCUUGUACCGCGAGAGAGCAGUCUCUCUGUUUUGGCUGCUUAACUCAUGUGCAGCAACUUUGGGAAAAGCUGAGGAGGCUUCAGAAUUCAUUUGCCCUCCAUGCCCAUGACCAUCAUUAGCAUGACUUGCACUGCCAUCAUUAUAUGAAUGUUUAUCAGGAACCACACAACAUUCCUGAAGGUAGCUCCUUAUAAAUGUUUUAGGAGAAGAUUCUCGCUUUUCGGCUGCGCCACAAUCGUUAUACUGAAAAUCAUGUGCCUGCAUGAAAGAAACACACUUGAUCAUUUUUCAAAUUCAAUCUGCAGGCACUAACAUUGACAUUAAGAGAAGCAUACCUCAUAAGCAGGAAAUACAGUUGGCUCUGCAUCAUGCUCAAAACCUGUAAACAAACUUCCUCGUUGCAUGUUUUGUUCAGAAGCUAGGGACUUAAGGGGUUUAACAUCCACAUUUUCGCUAAACAAGUUGGGUUCUGACUUGACAAGCACACGAAGCUGACGAAAUAUUUCUUCCUUGUGUCGACCACAAGCAGCAUUGCGAUUCUGAUUCAACAACAAUAUCCCGAACCAAGUCAAAUUGCAAUAAAUAAUAGACGAUUUCAACAGUAUACACAAGCGCAAAGAAACCCUUCUUCCAAAUUUUUAAAUCAUAUUCUUAAUGAAGCAAAGGGAGUGAGAAACAACAGACAAUUUGAGAACAAAAGGAUUCUUUAUUGUUUUUUUAUUUCUUUGAGCAGAAACUGAAUUUUUACCAGGAACCUUGGAGGAAAAACAAAAAAGAAAUCCAGAAAUAUUACUUGAAAGAAAGCACUUCUUUUAGUAGACGAGCAAAGCAUCAAGACUAACACCAUAUUGAACAGAGGAAAAGAGCAAUAUAGAACAUUUGCUUCUUUUUACUUUUUAAUGAAAACAUAAGACCUUCACUAAUAAAAAUUGUUAGAAAAAUUAAAGUCAUUUCCUUUAUAUCUUAAAGAAACAAAAACAGUUGCGAAUGAAAAAACAAUUAUAAGAAAGUUAUAAAAAUAAAAUAAAAACAUACAUACCUUAGGCAGAGGAGGAACCCCCAUAGCCUGAAAUUUGUAAGCCGGAUUGCUAACAAUCAAAUCGUCAAGACUAACAACAGAGGGAGUGUCCCAAACCAAAAAAUCGGAAAACCCAUCAUCCAAAUCGAAAGACCCAUCAACCCCACAACCCAAAAACCCAUCACCUCCUCCUCCACCACCACCGCUCUCAUCACUCAAAAGCAGAGCUUUUUUAUCCAUAUUCUCAAACCCAACAACUGUAAGCAACUCAUUCAAACAAGGGCACCCACUGAACCCUUCCAGAGGCCUCCUGUCGUGCACCGAGGACGACGAAAGGUUGUGGCUUUCCCAGUCACAGUUCUGGCACAGAACAGAGCUCUCGGUUGUGCAGAAGAUGGAGGCAGGGGAACCGUCACAGGCGUCACAGAGCAGUGACCGAGUGUGCUUGGAGAAAAGCUGAUUGGCUGAGUGGACCUCACGGUCGCACAAGAAGCAGAGCUUGGCAGAGUCGGCUCUGCAGUAUAGCAGAGCCAUUGAGCUUCCACAAUAGUCACAGAGACGCUUUUGGUGCUCUCGUUCUGGUUGUGGCGCCUCAGCUUCUUCAUUUCUUGAAGAACCAUUCAUUUCUUGCUCUGUGUGUUUCUGUGGCUUCUGGGUUUGCAAAUAUCUGUAUGAAUGAAUGAAUCUCUCUUCUUCUUUUUCUGUUCUUAUAUGUAUUUAUCUGUUUUCUUAUUUUCUUCUAAAUAUCAGAGAUAUUGGUGUGGCUUUGAAACAGGGCUGGAAGAAUUGAAUAUGAGAAAGAGGAAGAUCUUAUCAUUACUUGAUGAACACGAACAAUCUUAAAGACGGUUUGUUGAUUUUUGUCUGCUUUCCACAAAGAUAGGAAAGUGAUGUUUUACCUUUGGUUAACACUCGCAGAGACUUUGCAGUUUUUGCUCUGAAAAAGGUUGAAUUUGGAACUUGCUAGUUGCUAGCAGAAGGGCAAGGGCCAAGGCAGAUGAAAGUGAAAUUUUGGCGGUGACGUCUCCUCUAUAGCAUUUUUGUGUGGACUGCGAUUAAAAGAGAAAAUAAUAAAAGCUCAACAAUAUUCACGUUCCCUUCGAACUUCAAAGUUGCUAAGCUAUGGUGGCUGACCUUUCCAUGUCCAUGGUCUACAAUUACUUUAAAAGUUCGGAAAAAGUUCCAAAAGAACUAAUAAAAAAAUUAAACAAAUCAUAAAAUAAUGAGUAAUCUCUAUUCUUCUUAAUAGAAACUAUCCAACGAGAAAUUAUAAAAUAUUACAAUAAUAUGAUCACUUGAUAUUCUAUAAUCACCCAUAUUCAACAAAGUCCUUUAUGUUGUUUAAAAACAAUAGGAAAAUAAAGCCCCUUCUUUUGAGAAGUUAUCUGGUAUAGCUCUCCCAAACUACAAUUUACAUCUUAAUUUAUUUAAAUUAAAUAAAAACCUUUUUGUUAAGGCUCUCAAACUAAAGAGAGUUACAAAUUUAGGUGAGGCAUUGAUGAUGUCAUUAAUCCAAUGUACGACGUCAUUAAUCUCUAGAUGGUUCUUGAUUUUUGCUAACAAAAUGAUGAUGUGUUGUUACAAGAAGUCUCAUGAAUGGGAUGGGAUGGGCCCCUCUUCCUCAUUAACUUGAUGAAGAGCCCUCGUUUGUCUGUCAAAAAAAGGGUCAACAUAUCAUAAAGUUUCUGGCACAUCCAUAAUCUAGGCCCUCCAUAAGUUUGGUCCAGAUUCAUUAUAUGAUAGGGGAACCAAAUUGUAAAUGAAAAUUAAUGUGAGGGAGGAGAGAGAUCAAUUUUCCUAGCUUGCAUUUCAAGUUCUCAACCCCAAAUCUGGGUCAGCAGCAGUUAGCUUAACACAAAAGUGAUUUUUUUUUCUUCAAUUGGUUUCUUUCUGUGAGGCAGCCCUACCACCUGUCCAGUCCGGUUUUGUCGACACUACUUGAUGCCAUAAACCAAUAGUUGACAUGACAGGGCAGACAGCAAUUUUAAGUUUUAACACAGAGAGCCCGGCAGAAACCAGUUACCUUUUUAUAACUAAGAAGACAUGCAGCUGUGUUUUGCCAUGACAAAGCUGCUACCUCCUCAUUAAGUUCACUCAGCAGAAAGAGAAUUCACGAGGCGAGCAUGACAAACCGCCCAACUUAUCACAAGAAUACUUGGCCUGCACCAUUUCUUGUUCUUUAAUUGUAUUGUGCCACAAAAAUACAGAUGAGAGAGGUUUUGUCCCCGUCUUUCUUUCAUGUUGUGUUUGUGAAGAAAAUAAAGGAAAAAGGGCAUAGCAAUGUGGCGCAGAGAGAGAGAGAGAGAGAGAGAGAGAUUGAUUCUGUUCUCACUUGGACAAUAAAUCAAUGAGUUGGUAUAAAUUGGAUGAACCAAUGGAAGCUAGUCAAUUACAGCAGCUGUGCAUUCUUCCAUACACUUGGCGUACAAGAAGCACACGUACAAUAGAAGAGGACUAUUCUAGUCAAACCAAGGCGAAGCAUAGACAAAAAGUCUAAUGUGAAUUGGCGCAGCCUUGCAUAUUCAAUAAAACUUGUAAUCAACAGUCAUUGAUGAUCUGCAGCUGAAAUUCUUCGGGUGUUAUAUGAAUCGCAGUUGCUGCACUUGAGCCCAAAAAUGUGAAAGGGAGCGUUGCUAGUUGUGUUGCAAUCGUUGCAAAGAAUUGAUACCUGGAGAAUAUGCAACUUGUUACAUUCAAUUUGUGCCCAAGAAUGGUAUAACAGAGCAAUAUGCUUACAAUCGGGGAAAAAAACAAUAAAAUAAAUAGAAAACCAAUAAGUAAAUUGACAGUUUUUGUAUGUUUCAAACUAGGAAGAGUAGAGUAAUAGAUAAACGCAGACAUGGGUCUAUACCAAAAAUCAUGUAACUAUCAAAUACCUUCAUCAAUGAAAGUCAAUGUGGUAGAUGCACAAGUAUUUGAUAAAGGCAUAGAUUCAUUUAGUAUACUAUGGCUAAGACAAUUGAAAAAUAGGAAGACAAAAAAAGGGAUAAAGCAACGACCUCAUAUUGGUAUUCCUCGGGCAUGGCAGUGGCUUCAAUCUAUCACCCAAAAGAAAAGAAAAGAAAACUAAUUCAGAAUCACAAUAAUAUAGGAACAAGGAUUAAAAAGGAAUGAAAAGGAGCAGAAUACACACAUCAUCAUCCAACAAUCUCCAAAUAGAAUCCAUGUCGCGUAUUGUCUUGGAGCAAAUGGGACAACGAUACCUGGAUUGGAUGACAAAUCCAAAAUAUAUUAUGACCAAACAACUUCUGUUUGACUCAUCCAAUUUAUAUAAUAAAUUAGUUAUCUCAGAGAUAAUAUGUAGUUAACUGAGUUUGUCUUUGCAUCUCAAUGAAGCAUUCUGAAUGCAUUGUGUGUCCACACUUCAUAAUUGUUGUGCCUUUAACCGAAUCAAAAAGAUACUGUCAGGAUAGUAAAAGGGUUGUUAUUGUUAGAAGACAGAAAUUUUAUUUUAUUUUAAUUUUUGAACUUUAAAUAAUCACAAACCUCAUAGCAAACAGGGCAGUGAUUCUUCAUGGAGUUUUCUACACAUAAGUGAUUAUCACGCAGUUCCACUACAUAGCAAGAGCCUGUUUUCAUGGAAGAACAUAGAAAAGGAAAAUCAGCCACCCUCCACUAUCCUGUUGCCAUUCCCAAAAAAAUAAAAUAAAAGAGGAAUAAAACCUCUGUGAAAAAUGCAAUCUGACUGAAAAUGUAUGAAUACUUCAGGGGACCCUAAAGGCCAACCCCACCUUAUGUUAUGGAUCUGUUAUCUCUAUCAUGAUUUCCCUACUUCCAAAAGGAAAGAUUUGUUCACUUUUUGGCCAAUUAUAAGAAGUGAGGGAUUUGAACCCCUCACCACCGUGGUUUCAACUUUCCAGUCACAAGCUCUAAUUCUCUGAGUUAUAGGCCCUGCCUCAUCAUCACUCUUUUCUUGGAAGUACCCUAAAAAUGGAGGAACUUUUCAUCUCUCCAAGUUAAGACAUGAAAUAACCCACUUGUAUAUAAGCAUGGUACAUCUGAAGGUGUAAAGUUGGACUAGUGUGAUUGAAAAAGAAAUAACGGGGAUUAUAAUAUUAAGCUUACAGAACCAUAGAACAAAAACAGCAAAACAAGGUAAGUGCAUACCACACUUCUGACAAUGAAAGAAGUGGUCACGACCACCGACUCUGAGAAUCAAAAUUCAACAACAGAAAUAGUUCAGUUUGAAAGAAGGGCACGAUCCGAAAAGCAGAAAUCAAUAAAAGGAAGAUAUCACCAGUUGGCUAACCUACAAAUCCCGCACUCAUUGCAAUGAAAUUGCUGCUUGCUGAUCUGCAUCAUUUACAAACAGUAUAUUUGGUAUCAGAUACUCAAAUUUAACAGCUAAACAGCUGUAUCCCGAAAUUCAGACACUUUUAUCUAAUUUAUCCAAAGAUGACUAAAGGAUUGAAACUAAUUAUCUUACAUCAUCAUCAUAGAACUUGCAAAUGUCGCAAUAAUAUUCUCCCAUGUUGACACCACAGUUAGAACAAAGCUGAGCAACCUGGGAACAGAUCACAGUGCAAGCAAAAUAAGCGCAUUUGAAAGCUUCAAUUGCACUAAAAAUAAACAAACGCAUUAUAUCAUAGGAACCGCCAAAAUCGAACCUGUUGCUCUGUAUUGCAAACGGAGCAUACAACCUAAAACAGCAAUUGCAAAACCCAAAUAAUCAACACUACGAUUAAAUAGAAUAGUGAAGGCAAGUGUGAAUGUUAGUAUGAAUAAAUAAAUAUAUUUCGGGGAAGGGGCAUACUUGCUUCACAUCCUGCCUGACAAGUUCAUGGCGAUCUUUGGGGUUGCUGAGGGAGCUCUAAGAACCACAAAACGAACAAAAUUUAUAAAUAAUAAAAAAGAAAAAAGUCCCAAUUACACAUGAAUUAUGAAUUAUAUAAUAUAUAAAAGGGCAGAAAGAGAAAGAGGGGACCGCGGCUUCGUUGUGGCAGUGGCGGCAGGGGAAAAUCUGGUCGCAGCAAGGGGCUCGAAUCUUGCAUCGUCUCCGAUAAUGGUCGCAUCUAAAUCAAUAAUUAGAAACAAAACAAAGAUUGACAAAUUACCGACGAAACAGACGAAACGUAAGAAAAGGCGGUUGCUUUAUCUUCUAUUAUUACCCGUAAUCCAAUUUUCCGAAAUCUUGUCGACUCUUGGUCGGAGGCGGAGAAGCAGGAGAAGCAGAGUCUUCCAUUGGAUGGUUUAUUGCUGGUCAAUUGUGAAUGCCUGAAUUGCUCUGGUCUGGAUGGAUGUGGUGUGGAGAUUACCAAAAGGGUGAACAGGGUCAGAGUGUAACCCAAGUUUUAUCGUCUUUUUUGUUUUGUUUUUUGGGUCUCCUUAUUUUAUUUUAUUUUAUUUAUUGACCUUUUACAAUAUUUUAUCAAAUUAAAACUGAAGUCUCCAUAUCCAUACAGGACUCUUUGGCCUUGCUUGCUAUGCUUAGGGUAAAUUUGGAAUACAUAUUGCAUGUAUACGUUAUGCAGUUCAAGUUUCAACUAUUAUUAUAGAAAAAGAAAAGGUGAAUAUAAAAUACGAAAGGGAUCAAUUGAGACUAGAAUAUUUAGUUACCAACUUUAUAUUGUUGAUAAGAAAAACUGUGGUUAAUAUGACUGGGGUUUUUAUUGUUCGAUUUAUAAGUCCAUGACGGGAGUUUUAAUGCGAUAUAUCUCAAGUUAGAAUGGGCUUAUUUGUAAAAAAAUCAAAAUAAUAAUAAUAAUAAUAAUAGGGCAUUAUGUUUAGCAUAUGUAUUAGAAACCUAGGAUUGGCCUUGUCCACAAUUGAAGUUUUCGUAUAAGGUUUGACACAAGAAGAGUAGUCCCCUGAUAUGAAAAAAUGAAGCAAUAUGACCAGUAGUUUCAAGUAACAAAGGCAACUUAACUGCAUGACUAAAGAUGUCACUCAAAAUUUUACACACAACUUGAAUCAAAUAUGAAAAAAUGAAACAAAAUAACAUGUGAAAAAUUAAAUGUGGUGGUUCUCUGCAAUCGCAGCUACAGAGACUGCUUCCCAGAUUAAAGAAGGGUGCACGAGCAUGAAUUCAUCUUUUGCAUAUCUUUCUGGUUUUUAUCUGCACAAAACCCACCCGGAACAUAUAAAUCAGGCACUCAUCAUCCAUGAACAUGCAGGAAAUUGCAUGUAUCCAUUGAUACUAAAAGAGAGAACUUUGCAGAAACAAAGAUACAGUGACUAUAAAAACAAAAAUAUAUCUGAAUCUGAUCGAUCGACCGAUCCUACUUCCGAGAUUAAAAGGCGGGUUUGAACAGAACUAACCUGUCUUCUUUUGUUUGGGUACAAGGGGCUGCACUACUGCAUGCAUGAUUACAGCCCCACCACCAGGCUGGUUAGCAGAGGUUAUUCUGGAAUCAGCAAGUGUUUUGUUAUUCUCUAAAAUUCUGCCACUAUGUAUGAGUUUAACUUCAUUUGCAGACUUGGGUGUCACUGUUUUCGCUGGGGGUGAUGGAAAAUUAAAGUUCCAUUGAUUAGACAAAAGUAUUAUAGCUAGCUUGAUCAAGAGAAGUUUUAACAAUCAAAAUAUGUUAUGUUACAUGAAAAUGCAGCUGAAAUAUGGACUACUUUCAUCUGUAUGUAUACGCCACAUGAUAUAUCAGUUCAUGAAAUUCAAUUUUCAGCAACUCACGUUCAUCAAAAUCCAAUUUGGCUGUGGCUAUAUUACCUUGAGGCCACUCAGCAAGUAGCCUUUUCUUUAGAUUUGCUACUGUCAUAGAUGGUGCAUAAGAAUGGUGUCCUAUAUCUGUCCCAUCAUAAAUCCUGAACUUAAGCUCUAUCUCCUCUCUUUGACCCAUAUCAUAUACCCCUUCCUUCUCCUUUCUUCUUCUUCUUCUUCCCCAAACUUGAAAACCCAAACAGACAACUUCUUCCACAGAAAGAAUUCAAACUCCCCCAACCCACCUGGAAAAAAGAAAGAAAAGAAGAGAGCAAAAAAAACACUCAUUUAGUUUUCAACAUUCCCUUUUCAAACAGAUUAUUCAGCACUAAUGAUGAAAUACAAAAUCCUCAUAAUCUUUAAUAAACCAAAUCAAAAAUAGAUUUUAUAAAAGCCAAGAAUGCGGCAAAUGAGGAUCGAACCUUAUGUGCAAGAAGAAGAAGCAAAAGCUGCGCAUCCGAAUCAAGGGUUUGGGAACCAAUCCAACCAAGUAAGCACCUCAUAUGACCCAAGUGCCUCAAGAACUCGAUCCUAUUGAUAUCUCUCUGCAACAAUAAUAUAAUGUCGAAUCUAUUUCAUGCCAUAUAUAUUCAUUAAAAUAGAAUCACAAGUUUCCAAAUCAAAUCAGACUAUAAAUACUGUGAUCCACGACGAUCUUUACCAAUUAAAUUUGAUAACGCAAUGUGUUCAAUAUUUUAUAAUGAAAACCAGAAAUCUCCAUUACAUAGUGAUCUGAAUACAGUAAUCAAGAUUUUCGCAUUCGAAGGAACAGUAAUUAAGAUCCGAGAAAUUCUCACAUUCUCCUCCGUAGUUAUCCUUCAUUUUCCUGGCAACCAAACAGUCGGUAAGAGAAUCGAUUCUUGAACGAAAGAAAGAGGCGUGAUAAGAAACUACGAUUUCUUCUAGCUCUGAUCGGUGGCUUUAGUUUCGUGCUCUUAAACUCCUACUGAUAUCUCGCCACGUGUAGAAUGGAGGCUUUUUGCCGACCGCCUCGAACGACUAAUAUACCUCUCUCAUGGUCUAUGGAUAGUGAUGUGUCAAGAUGUGAUUGGGUAAGAGGAGACAAUUGAGAUCGAACACGUCUAAUAUAUGAUUUCGUUACUGUUUUUAAUUUUUAAUUUUAUAAUUUUAUAAAAUCGAACUUUUUUUAUGGUAAUAGGAUUGGAUUAGCUUAAUCCAAUAUCAUUUUUUGUGUUAAAAAAUGAACGUGGAAUGUGGAAUGUGGAAUGUGGAUAGGAUAAAAGAUAGUCGCAUGCGCACCUCUAUUAUAUGCCUUUUUGUAGGACAACUUAUCCUAUCAAUGACAUGGGAUGCAUAAUCUCGCUACUCCAAUCCCUUGACCUUGAAUUCAAGAUCCGGGAGCCGCGACACAAACUCAGGACACUAGUGUCAAUGGAAUCCCGAGCCUCUACUACUUUAGUUCUUGUAUAUUUAACUGCAUUUCACAAUAUCUAGACCAUAUCUUUUUCAAUUGAACGUAAUUCAAUGCAACUAAUCCUACCUCCUAAUCCAAUGCAAUUCAAUCCUAAUCGCCAAACAUUGCACUACUCAUGUGGACUAGUGUUCAGGGUAACCUAAAAUGGACCGCACCAAUAUGCUGGUAUCCUUCAUGAUAAUUGCUUCAAACAAAUAGGUUGUUUGGAUCAACUUUACAACAGUGAACCUGCAUCUCAUGAUUUAUUAUAGUUCUUACUGUCAGUUUAGAGUAUUCAACUCAAAAUCGAUUCGGAUGAUGAUGCUCGUAAUAUUUGAUACUGAUAGGUAAGAUUUGAAUGGAUUCUGCAGGGCAUGGCUAUAAUUUUUUACUUUUUUUAUCAGGUUAAAUUUGAUAAAUUCUACAAUAUUUUGUUCUGCCUGACAAGGAGCAUCUUGUUAUGGUAUCAUAAACAUUACAGACUUCAUUUCUUCUUCAUAAUAAAACCUCGAAAACUUCAUGCCAGCUGCAUGCCCCUUUCACUACUUUAAUAUUAAUGUUUUGUUUUGAAUUUUCUGGAUUAAGAUUGAUCAGCAGAACAUAAGCCAACAAUGAAUCUUUGUUCUAGUGUGGUUCUCUGGGGGAGCUCACCACUCAAUUGAUUCCUUUUGGUUGUUUAAAAGUUAACAAACUUGGACAAGUAGAGCCAGCUAUAGAGUUUGGCAAAGUUAACCUGUACAACUUUUAUUCGUAAUUUCGCUACGCAUCCAAGUUUGCUGGAAUUUGAGUGCAAAAACAGUUCUCUCUAGAUAGAGAGUUGUAUGUGCAAGUUGUAGAAUUGACAUGUAUAUAUUUUCUGUGUGAGAAGGAUAGAUAUGUGUGUCGUCUGACUCUGAGGCUGUGAGUUGAAAAGGAAUAUGUACGGGAGAUGCCAUAUAUGCAUCUUGCUCCGCACUAAUAACAUGUGGAGCUGUAAUUUUCCAUGAUGUUCUUGAUAGGUUGACACUGACUACCAAACACAAAUCUAUCGUUGGAGGGAGAGAAUCAAGAGAAUAAAAGAAAAGGAAGCAAAGUGUUAAAAGGAAACGAAUGUAAUACCUUUCUUUAUCUCUGAUAAAGUUGAAGAAUCUAUACCUAGAAAAAUACACCUUUUUCUUCUUCUUCUUCUUCUCCUUUUUCCUUUUAAUACCAUGUAUGGAGGAAAGCAAGGUGGAUUAUGAAAGUUAGAUUUUAAAUUUUCUCUCUCUCCAACUCCAGAUUUUUACUCAGUGUCUGGGAAGUUUCUCUGUCUUGCUUCAAUUUUUCUGUUGCAGCUUUUCUCAGAAUGCUUAAAAAGGGUUUAAAAAGAAAAAAAAAGAGAUUCACAAUUUACUAUAAUGAUUUGAAAGCUAGUUAAAUCCAAAACUCUUGAUAUUUUGUGCUGUCUGUUUCCAAUCAUUUCAGAGAAUUUUCAGCAUACAGUAUACUUCAGGAUAUUCUAUACGCAAAGGUUGACCGUAGAAAACAACAGCAACAACAACAAAUAAUGAAGAAACUGGCUAUUCACUUACAUUUUGUUUCAAGUUGUGGAGAGAGAGCUCUGUUUCUUCGUUUUUUUUUUCCGCCUUUUCUUCUGCGUGGGGGAAGUACGAAGGGAGAGUAUUUUAAGAUCUCCAAAUGGUCUAGAGUCUGCAUUACUGCAAUGUUUAGAUUUCAUAGUUUAAAAUGGUAUUGUUCUCAUUUUGGACAUUAUAUAGUGGCAGUGGGGAAGCAGCAAACUACAAAAUUGCACACCAAGACAGAAAGUAUAUAAAGCUAACUUCAUUAAGAAUAGGAAAUAGAAUACAUGCUAUAGCUGAUCAAAUGUUACAGAGCACUAGACACAUCAAACACUACAUAACUUGUUCAAAAGAAACAAAAGAAAGAAGCAUUACUACAUAGACUUUGC
RNAcentral lists this long non-coding RNA (53121 nucleotides) under Prunus persica (peach). RNAcentral's name for it is "long non-coding RNA (PPER_LNC008509)". Lineage: Eukaryota; Viridiplantae; Streptophyta; Magnoliopsida; Rosales; Rosaceae. The record is from RNAcentral.